UUUUUUUUUUUUUUUUUUUUCUUUAUAAAUUCUUGCAACUAACUUCCUUCCUUCAUGUGCUAUCGAAAAAACAGAAGACUCAGAGAGAAGCUUGACAUUGAAGAAACAGAGGAGAGGAGUGCUACGGAUCCAUCUCUUUCGUGAUUGUUUCCCGCUCCGUCUCCUUCUCUUUAGGUACGUUCAGUUGAAAACCGCACUUGAGUAAUACUUUUUGUAAAGUCACUUGUGUUAUGCAUGAUAAAUAUUUUUCUCUUAAAUAAUAAAAUCUACGUUAUGAAACAUUUCUUACUAAAACAUCAACACAUAUGCAUUUUAAUAUUGUAAACUUUCUCACUGAAAUUAUAAUUAAUAAUAAUUCUAACAAAACAGUAUAUAUUCAUUUUAUUUUCUAAAUUUUAGGUAUGUUCUUCAAAUUUUAACACAUAUUUUAUUAUAUUCAUGUUUUAAAUAUAUUAUUUAAAAUUUAUAUAUAUUUAUAUUUAUAAACGAAUUUGACAAUAUUAUUGAAAUAAUAUGUACUUAUUGUGAUGUGUUUAACCAUUUUGUAAUUAUCUUUUUUUUAUUUCUUUUUCAUAAAUAUGUAUAUGUAAGAAAUUUUAAUUUUAAAGUACAUUUAUUAUAGAGAAAAAGACUAUGAUAGCACCAAACUAAAUUUUUGUUCCCAAAGUAGGACUCAAGUUUCAAAGUCACAAAAAUAGGUUUCAUUAAAGAGGUAAAUAUACACUUAUACCCUUUGGGUUAAUUAAUCCAAUCCUUAGAGUUUAGAGUUAAGGGGUAGAAUUUUGGAAUUAGGAUUUAAAAUUUUAUAAAAUAAAAAAUAAAUAGUAGAAUAAAAAAUAAAAAUUUUAAAAACAGUUUCAAAAAGUAUUUUUAAAUUAUAAAAAGAAAAAUAAAAAAAAAUAAAAAAAAAAUUCGAAAAAAAAGUUUCAAAAAUAAAUUAUAAAAAAUUUCGAAUCUAAAAACAUAUAGUCUGAAACUAUAAAAAAAUUUCUUUUUUUCAUUUUUUUAUUUUUUUUUAUUUGUUUAUUUAAUUUUAAACAAAAGAUAUUAGGGAUAUUUUACCCUUUAAUGAAUGUCAUUUUGUGACUUUCUUCUUUUAGUGCCAUUUUUGAGACAUAAACUUCAAAAGGUGCUAUUAUUGACAAUUGACCUUUAUUAUAUUCAUAUAUUAUUUAUAUUCUUUAACUAUAUUAUAUACUAUUUUAUUUUAUAACUUAAAUAAUUAUUCAAUACCGCAAAUACAUAUUGUCACCAAUCAAACAAUAUUUCGCACUGCUUUUUACAUAAAAUCGUAGUUGUACCGUACCACACUUUAAUUUUGUACUGCUUUUUUUACCAAAUCCGCCAUCAUCAUUCGGACCCUUAGUAUUAGUGGCCACGAUUUAGCUGAAAUAUUUUUGUAAUGUAUAUUUUUCCAAUUUUAAAACAAGUUUGAACAGUCAAUAAAAAUAAUAAUUACAUUAUUAAAUAUACAAAAAUAUGUCAUUUUUGUUCAAAAUUUAUUUUGUUAAAUUUUAACAAUUAAGUGCUAUACUAAAUAAAUAAAUUCGAAUAAAUAUAAGGUAUGAAUUUUUUUUUUAACAAAAGCUAUGGAGUUUUUAUAGUGGUAAAUAAAGAAAUUUCAAGUAACAUAACAAAAUAUUUUCUCAGCGUAACAAAAUCAUUUUCGUCUGCCUACGCGUAAUAAAAUCUUUAGACGACAACCGUGUGAUUUUCCUUUUUUACUUUUAAAGAUGCAGAGAAUCAAAUCACUUUUAACAGAAGCGUAUGACCUGUUAUCCUUUACCAGAUCUUAAACAGAAGUAAUUUAAAGCUAUUUUUGCCUAUUUGAAAGAGGCUUUGCUUAGUGGUGAAGUAGCCUCCUUCGUUUGUGGGGUGUUAUGUUUAAGUACACUCAUAUUAUAAUAACAUGCAACUCAAACAGAUAUUUCUAUUAGAGCUAAUUUGCUGAAUAUACUAAAAAUAGUGAGAUACCAUAGAAUGAGGGGAAAAUGGUAAUGAUAGGGGAGAAAAUUGGAAAGAUAUAGUGUAUGGAAUGCAAAUAUGAGAUAUUUGGUGUGUAGGGAGUACAAAUUCUCUUUCUAUUAUCCUUCAAACUUGGUUUAUCUUUUAAAGAAAAGAUAUCUCAUAUAUAUUUAUUAGAGAUAUUAGGAUCACACAUGUGACCCGGUCCCGAGAGUUUGGAGGUCCUAGACCAUUUAGUAAAAAUUUCAAAAAUUUAUGGACUUAACUUUUUUUUUUUACAAAUUUAAAGGCCUAUUUACAUAUACAAUUUUUUUUUAAAAAAUUAGGAUAUGAGAAGAAUGUUUCAUUAGGCUUGGCAAAGGACUGACUCCGGUCACACGAGGAUUGCACCGAAAUUAGAUGCAUGCCUUUUUCGUUGUGUCGUACACUUAAUGUCAAUGUUAGGCCUAUCGCCAUAGCUUAUGAACACACAUAGGAACCUAAGAUUGUGUAUCAAAACUGACGAAUUGGCACUUUCGUUUUUCUAUUAAAUGAAUUGGUUUAUAUGAACACUUUAUCAUCAUUUCAUAAAAUUUAUUUUUUUAUCACAAAGUUUCCUUCGAAAAUUGCUUACCUUCAAAACUUGUUUUUUUCUAUUUUUCUUCGGAGUGACAGAGAUUAUUAUUUCUUUUAGUAGAGAUUUCCUUCAAAUUUAAAGAUUUCAGAAUUUUUUUUUGAUUUUUUUCUCGAUCCCUUACAAAGUGAAAAGUAUUACAUGUUCAAAAAAAAAUCCAGCAUCCUAUCUUAUUUGUUAGAUUUUGUUUGGUAAUAAUUUGUCGAUUCUAAAGAUGGAGUUUCACCAAUUGCUUGAACAUAUGUUUGCAGCCGAUGAAAAAUCCUCUGGUGAACGAGUUAAUCCCUACAAAAGAAUAUUAAACAAACUGAAUCCAUACUCGACACCCUCGACCUAAAAGAGAUUGAGUAUAUGUGGAAUUCUACAUUUGAUAAGAUCCUGGCGAUUGGCGUGAAUCCCUCUAUCUCUAUAUAAUUCAGUCAAUUUAUUACUGUCAGAUUUUUGAAAGUCAAUAAGAAGUAUGAGAUGUGGAUCCUCUUUGCUGGGAAGCCCGGUCCGAAUGUCACUUAGAGAGUUUGCUAUCGUCAUGGGUCUUAAAUGUUGGAAAGUUGCUAAAGCAUCAAAGUGGAAGAGACGCGAUCCUUUGAACAAGAAGCUUUACUAGAAUGAUCUUUUCGGAUUAUUGAAAUGUAUGAAGAAGAGUAACGUGCAGAACAUAAAUAGCAGAAUUAAGUAUGCAUGUCUAACUAUUACCCCAUCUAUUAUAUUGCCUAAGUCUCAAUGUCCCUUAUACUUUAUCAUGAGCAUGUGGUGCUGAUUCGCAACACUGAUGAAUUUAUGGCUUGUCUUUGGGUCGUGCUGCAUACGAAAUGUUGGUGUCAUUCAUGGUUGGAUAUGAUGAAAUUUCAUUGUCCCAAAGCUUUGUUGCACUGAAAGGAUAUGUUGAUGCAAUUCAACUAGUGAUGAUUUCUGCUGUUCCACCGCUUAAAGAGGUGGUAGUUCAGAAUGAACAUGCGGUUGUGAUUGAAUCAGAUAGCGAGAUUGAAACAACUUCUAAAGAUCACAUGGAUAUGUAUACCUAUAGGUAUAGGGGAUAUACCCUCCGCUGUUGUCAAAGUGGGGGUCAUUCAUGGGCAUCCUAGAUAUCUAGACUAGGAAUGUCAGAUAUUAGUAGAUAUUCCCUUUACAUGUUAUAAUUUGACCAAUUCGAAUAUUUUUUAUCUGCAAGUUGGUGGUUAUGAUUGUUUCGAUUGGUGUGAAGUCUAACCGAUGGAUUACCAAAUCAUGUAAUGGAUUUAAUGAAUAUGUAACCGUUAUAAAGCACAAUUAUUGGCAACAUUUCAAUUAUUUUGUUUAUGUAUUAUUAACAUUCUAUCUAUCAGACUAGCAAGUAUAAUAUUAUGUUUUAACUAACAUUAUUAGUGAUGGUGUACUGAUUUGUUAGCAGUUACGUGUCCGCUAAUAUUAUUUAUGAUGAGUGUACUGAUAUGUUAACAGAUACGAAUGACAAUGCAAUAUAAUGUAAUAACAUUUUGAGUUUUAUGCAUUAUGUAGGUGGAUGUGAAAUAUAUAUUAGAUGACCAUGCAGAGGACUGUCCAUUGGGUAUAGAUCUUGGGUGGUCUGAUGAAGAGGAAGACGAGGUUAUUGAUAAUUUGGUGCGGUUUGUCGGUGAAGAUUAUAUUUUCCACAAUGAAAUAUUCAAAGGUGGGUUAGACAUUGCUGAUUUCGUUUGGAUAAGGAAUGAGAGGAAGCAGAAAAAGAAAGAAGCAAAAAAAAUAAAGACAAAAGGCAACGUUAACGAGACAGCUAACGUUGAGGCUUCAGAUCCAACACUCACAGAGCAAGUAGAGAGCUUGUUACUACACAACUGAAAGAUAAAAUCAAUGAUGUAGCCAAUGUUUUGUGGGAGGGCUUCAAAGUCAUGGAGCGGAGCCGCAGAAGAUGGACAAAGUUGUGGAUGAUAAAUUGGAGAAAUUGUUUUUAUUGACAAAAUGGCAAGGGCAAAAUUGGCACUUUGAAGCCAAAAUGGUAAGUGGAAAUCAGUUUCUAAGCGAACAUAUGUAGCAACCAAAUUAUUAUCUCUAACUUGAAUAUUUAACUAAUUAUCUCAUAUUAUUAUCUAGAGAUGCAAUUGUAAAACCAUCUUCAGGAAAAAGAAAUAAAAAAUAUUCGAAUUAUAACAAAAUUUAUAUUAAAAAUUAAAUAAAUUGGCACUAAUAUAUAAAUAAUUUAAGCCAAUUCACUUGUUAUAAAUUAAUUUUGAGUUGAAAAUUUAUUAAAUUUAAUUUAUGUUUUUUUUAGUUAUUCUUUAGAGAAGGACCUUUUAAAAUAAAUUCAGAAAAAUCAAAUUGCUAAAUUUUACACUAAAAUUUGAAUAAAUCUACAUUAGAAUAUACCAAAUUUAUGUCAAUUUACUCGUUACCAAUUAAUUUCUAGUUAGAAGUUUAUACAACUUAAUAGUUAUAAGGUUUUGGUUAUAUUCAUUAUAUCGAAACUGAUCAUAAUAACCCACAGAAGGUUACUAACGAUUUUAAAAUAGAAUUUAGUUUACCUUUAUCAGAUAAAAAAACAUUUCAGUUGAGAAUAUUAAGAUCCUAUAUUAAAACUUUGAAUAUACCAACAUAAUAUAUGAAAAAAUAUAAGUCAUAACUUAUUCUGAACUGGAUUUGAACUCCAAACCCAAAAAUGUGAUAUAAAUUUGAAUUCUAAUUUGCUAUAUUGAGUUUAUGGCUAACUUUCUAAUAUUAUCAUAUUUCAUAGUAUUUAUAAUAUUUUAAAAUAUAUAUAUCAACAGUCAAUAUAAAUCGGAUUUGAUUCAUGUAAAUAGAGAUAUACUUACCCUUCUAAUCUAUUAGUUCAUAAUCACUAUAUAUAGAUAAUGAUUCUUACUCUUAUGUGUGAUCUAUGAUUUAUGUCAUUGUAAAUACUUAUAUUUUUAGAAUUUCAUUAAGUAUCUUAAUGUCAUAGACUACUAAUUAACCAAACCACAAAUUAAUGAAUUUACAAUAUUUUUUAAUUUAAAUUAUAUCUAUAUUUUAUAACAAAUCUUAUAGUUUUAAUGUAUAUUUCAAAUAAUUUAUAACAUUGUAAGUACUUAAGUAAUAUUAAAUAUAAUUACAAACUAAUAUUAUGUCAGAGUUUAAUUGAAAAUAAGAAUCUACUGAUAGUUUUAUAUAAGUAUAUUAUAUAACAAUAAUAGUUACUUAAAAUAAAUAUAAUUAAACAGUUUUGUAUAAUAUUUUUUUUAUAGAUUAUAAAAUCAAAUUGAAGUAUACAUACAAAAACACACAAUUUCUUAGAAUGAUAUUGUUUUUUCUAAAAAUAUAAAAUAGUUCAAAUCAACUCAAUACAUACUAAACUUAUAUCACACAGUUUUACAAUGACUGGUUUAAUAAGAAUAAAACUAGAGCUUGACCCGCGCACCCGCGCAGGUGUUAGUUUUUUUUAUAAAUAAAUAUUUAUUUGUAUAAGUGAUAAUAUAUAUUUUAAAAGUUACCCGUUUAAUUUAUUUUUAAUAUGACAUUUCUAAACACAAUAAUUCUAUAGUUUAUAUUGAGUAGUUUUAUUUUAUCAUGUAAACCCUUAGUUAUAUCAUCUAUUUAUUUAGAAUAUGACCUGUAAAGUCACACAAAUGUAUUUUUAUUUUUUAUGGAUCAAAAUUUUAUGAUUAUAUAUAAUAAAAUUGUUGUAUAAACUAUUUUUAUGGAUCACAAUUUUAUGAUUAUGUAUAAUAAUAUUUUUGUAUACUAUUUACUAUGUAUAUGUGGAAUUAGUAAAAUAAUUACCGUAUAAUGUAUGUAAUUAUGAAAUGUAUAUAUGGAAUUAAUUAUUUUCAAACACACAUAUGUAUAAUAAAAAAAAAAGAAAAGACAAUUAAUAUUAAAAUUUAGGUUUACUAAUUAUUGUUACGAUGAUUUUUUAGUUAGAAUUUGAUUUUGGAAAUACAUUAAUUGAAGAGAAAAGACAAAAAUCCUAAAAGAUAGGUUAAUUAAUAACUUCAGUGGCAUGCUAUUGUAAAUAUAGUGGAAAACUAAUGGAUAAUCUAAUUUUGUACUCCUCUUUUAAUAGAUUAGAUAUUAUUAAAAAAAUUAAAACACUUUUAUGCUAUAGUACGAGUCAAAACAUAAUAUACCCGUGAACAUAUAUACGUAAUUUGUUUUAACAACUGUUUUCUUUAAACCUAGAAUGAUCAUGAGAUUUCAAAUCCUAUUCAAAAUUGGGAUCAGAAAUCCAAAAAAAUCUAUAAAAUGAGGUGCAGAUUGAUUGUCACUUCGUGGAAUAACUUGUAAAAUUUCUGAUUUUUCGAGACUAAAUUACAAAACACCUUGAACAUUAAACUGAAUAAUACUGAGCAUUGUACGGAUAAAACUCUAGUAACUAAAUUAUAAUUGGGUUGAUGUUUGGUAAGAUAAAUAUAUAUAUUGAGCUUUCGAGAGUAGUAAUAAUUUGCCGAAAGUGCUGACUGACUUAUAAGACAUUUAUAAUUUAUCAAAUUCAAUAAUCAUAAGCUAAGUGAUAUCAUUGAUAUGUCCAUUACAUGUUUAAACUUUAUUAGAGAGGUUCAAUGAAUAUAAAACAAUCGUUGUUUGGGAAUAUUCCCAUCAAUUACAUCAUUGGGAUUUUUAUAUUAAUUCCUCAAGUUAGAGUGAAACCAAAUAUCUAUUUGACAUCUCUUUCUUACCAAUUUUAAACUAAUUGAGAAAAAUAAAGGAAUGGUCCAAGUUAAGGGCUGACCUAUGGGUUUUAGUUGCAUGCAGUGGCAUUAUUUUUUAAUUUAUACACAGUUACUUUUCUCCUCAUCUUUCCACUAUUCUAUUUUCUUGCUCAAAGUUGGAGCCAACCUCUUUAUACAUUAAGCAUAUUUUAUAUUCAACUAUAUAAUAAUAUGAAGUUUUGUGGUAUUUUGGAAUAAUCCUCUUAAUAUAAACAAUUUGAUUUUACAUAUCUUUCUAAAUAAACCUAUUAGAUAAAUACUAUUAAUAUGGAUAUGUUUGGUUGUACUGACAAAUAAUAAUUAAAAAAAAACAUUAGGAAAAGAAAACAAAAAAGCUAAAUAAGAGUAUGCCAUAUUUUGAUGGCCCCUUCCAACCUAACUUUGCAUUUUAUUUUCUAACUAUCUUUAAGAAAUACAUUAUACAUAUUCCUGUAGUUAAUACUUGAUAUGUAAACCGGGACGUCAUACUUAAGCAACACACUUAGUUCUAAAAUUUAUAUUAAAAUGGUGUGAAAUGUAUAAAAUUAAUAACAAUAUAUACAGUUUUUGGCAAAUAAAGAUCAUCAAUACAUGGUGAAUAAUUAAAGAAAGGACGUUCUGAAUGAUAUUAUCUGUAUUUUCUCCUAUAGAUACCACAAAAUAUUUAUACAGCUCUUAAAAUAUUUCAAAAAAAAAUCCUUAAUAUGGUAUCUAGAAAAUAAUUUCUAAAAAGUGUGCUUGUUUUAGAACAUAUGUAGUUAUGUGACUCUAAUUGGUGGUCAUAAAAAUAAAAAUAAGAAUAAAUAGGAAAAAUAAUAAAAAUGAAAAAAUAAUAGGAAUGGAAAGGAAUAUAUGUUACUUAUGGUUCCUUCUCAAAUUUGUUAAGGAAUGUUUCUGUUAUAUAUACUAGGGCCUAUUGUAUACUUCUUUAACAAAUGAGUAUAUAAUGAAAAGAAAUCAUAUGAAAAAUUCUUAAUAAAUAGUGUAAUAUUUAAGAAAUGAAAGGAUUUUGUUAUUCUCAUUUAUUAUUUUGGUCACCAUUUAAAGCCUUGUAAUUGACAUAUUGAACUAAAUAAACUUGUUAUAUUUAUAGAAGACUCCUGAUAAGUCUUACUAAAUAAACUUAUGAGAUAACUACUAGUCUACUACUAGUAUGUAUUUCACAUAACCCUAAUGCUCUAGUUGGUCGUUAUUUGAUCUCUGAUUAAGGACCGGGUUUUAGUAGAUUAUUAGUCGUUUAUACAAAUGAAAAAUGAAUGAAGUUCCAGAAAAAAUGCGCUAUAUCCCCAUGUGAAUCAUGUGAUUAUGUCCCCUGGCUAUGCUUAGAGGUUAAGUGUCAACAACUUUUAUAUUGUUUUCGAAGUAUUACUUUUUCCUGCCAGAUGAUUAUUCGUUUGUUCUUAAUUUGAACUUUGAUGUAUAUUAAGAGCCGUCCAUUGAGAACAUGGCUUGCGCAACGCACGUGGUUUCGUACGGUGCAGAUCUAUAAAAGAGAUUCCCGUUGAAAACGUCGUCGUGAACUGUAGUAGAAGUAGGUGACGUGAAUUAUUAACGUAUAAUUACCAACUGUAACUAAAAGCCGCACGAGGUGAACUGAUAAAAAGGUAACUGUUGUCAAAUUGAUUAGCCUCCACCUUUGAUUCAAUAAAAUACAGUAUAUCAAAAUAUUCAACACCAAGAACGACGUAUGUAGUAACAAAUUUAUUUAAAAAUUACGUAAACUUUUUCUAAGAAGGAUGCAAGACAUUUGAUUGUUUAUUUCCUAUUUUUAUCUUUUAACAUCUGGUCAACUUUUACAGACCUAUUUGUCUAGCUUGCUAUACAUUAUUAAUCCUAGUACAUUAUUAAUCAAGCUAUUACAAAACAUAACAGAUAUACAUUUACCAUUUAUAUAUUUUCCUAAAAAUAGACAAUUAAAAUAUAGUUUUUCUAUAAAUUACAAAACAGUUAAUUUAUAUAAAUGAUGAAACAAUAGAUGUAGGGAGUGAUUGGCUAGUAUGCAGUAAGUGCCUCUAGUUUAAUUUUUAUUUACAACCUUAAAAUUUACCAUUAAUAAUUUAUCUAUUUUAUUAAAACUGAAUUAUAAAUAUGAACCAUCCCUUAGAAUAUUUUUUAAUUACGUCUAAUGUUAUUUCUUUUACAUUAUUAACUAUAAUUAUCGUUAAUAGAUUAACUUACAAAAACAUAAUAAAUAUAUGUUUCCAUAAAAAUGUAUAUGUGUUGCAAAAUUGGGUCAUAUUUAGCUACCACAUAAAUGUAAUAGAUUCCAAUAUUUCAUUUCGUAAAAUAAAAUUUAAAAUAUAAAAGCAAAAAUCUGUAUAUUCAUAUAAUAAAACCAAAACAUAAGCGUGUAACAUAUACAUUAAUUAUAUAAUCUAUAAAUUUAAUUAUUUAUUUCCAUAUACAUUUAAUUGCAUAAAUUCACUCAAUUUUUUAUUAGUUAAUUUCAUUUUAUUAUUAAUGGUAAAUCAUAAAUACACACACACACACUAUAUAUAUAUAUGGUAGAACAUUCCAUUUAUUGCAUUAUAUCUCAUUAUCUAUUUCUUUAAAUUGUGGAAUAUCCUUUAAUUAAAUUGUUAGUAAUAUUUGUAGUGAUAUAAAAGCUACAAUAAAAACUUAAUAUUAAAUUAUUCUGAUCAAUAAUUAAUAUAUCAAUACUGUAAAUAAAUAAAUAUAUAUAUAUAUAUAUGAUAAUAUUCAACAAUUUAAUAAUAUGUUUUUCACAUAUAUAUAAUUUUGUCUAACUAAUCCAAUACAUAUCUAAUAAGAUAAAUAUAUAACAAACCCCCACUUACACAAUAUAUAGUUUGAAACAAUAACUUAAAUUAUUGCAUUAGAGUUAUAUAAUUAUUGUGUGUUUAAAAUGUCCAUAAAACUGAAUAUUUAAUAUGGAAAAAUGUUAAAAACAAUAAGAUAUACACAUAUAAAAUAAAUAUUGAUGGAUAUCUCUAUAAUAUUAUUUGAGAAGUCAGUUUAUUAUGUGUCGCACACACAUUAAUUCUUAUGACGGUUAUUUACAGAGGUACCUUUAAUGAAAUACAAAUAUUAAAUUUAAAUACUAUUGUUUUUUAUUUUUUUAGUUUACUUUUUAUUUUUUCCAAAACAUAUAUAAAAAAAGAAACAUUCAUAAAGUUUAAAAACGAAUUUAAAAUCGAAAAUAUUAAGUUCACAAAAAGUAAUAUUAAGUUUAAAACAUAUUCUUACAUAAUAAUUAUUAUUAUUGGAAUGUUUUUUCAUAAUUUUUAGCUGACUAUAAUAUCUUACAAUUACAGAAAAAAAAAACACUUAUUAUUAAUAUGAUUCCACAAAAUAAUCACAAUUUUAGUGCUCAUUUUAAGAGAUAUUAAAAAUGGAACCUAAAAAUAAUUGUUUAUGAUAAGAAUAUUUUGAUCAAAUAAUUACAGAUUGUUUUUUAAAAAGCAUAUACUUUUAAUGAGGUAUAUAUAUAUUAUAUUUUAUCUUUAUUAAAAAAAAUCUUAAUAUUUGGUUCCUUUUUAAUUUUAUAUUUUCUUUAUGUUUGUGGAACUUAAUAUAUCCAUAAUCAAAAUACCCAACCAAAUCUGAAUUUUCAUUUUUAAGAUUAUUUAAAAUAAUUUUCAGUUUACCUUUCAAUAAAUCUAAGGCAUACAAUUAUUUAGAAUAUAUAAAAUAUAUAAUUAUUGUAAAUAUUGAUAUUCGUUUAUGGUCUUACAAAACUUUAUCAGUUAUACUAUGUAUGUAAUUUCCUACUGAUCAUCUCUUUAUUUUCUAAUAUUUUUUUAAAAAAUCAACAUAUAAUUUUGAUAAAUAUUAUGAAAAUACAUACACAUUUAACCGAGAAAUAAAACUAAUUUGAUUUGACUUGAUUAGAAUAAAAAUAAUUAUACAUGAGUUUGAAUUUGAAGAAUAUAUGUAACUUAAUAUACUCACAGUCCAACUUAUAUCCAAAAUCAAAGAUUAAACUACAGUAACAGUUGACAAAAAAAAACUACCUUAACAAAUAAUUUUAUAAUAAGGAUCUAUUUAUUUUUAUACAUAUAAAUUAUAGGAUAACUCAAACUCUAUUAAUAAAUAAAAAUAAAAUAUUAACUCAUUGUUACAAUAUAAUUUUAUAUAUAUGCAUGAGACUUCAAAAUAUUAUCAUUAUAUUCAUUUAUGUAAUUUUGAAUUAAACAUUUUAGUUUAUUUUAUUUAAUUUUAAGCACAAUAUAUAUUAUGUUAUACAUAAUAUUACGAAAAUAUAUAUGCAUAUCUAAGAAAAUAACCAAUCUAAAUACAAAUAAGAAUUUAAUCAAAAUUAACUAUAUUUAGAAUAAAAUAUUAUAGUUGAAUUCGAAGAAAUAGAUGCAAUCCAAUAUACCAAAGUAAUAAAUAAAUCGAUUGUUGAUCAAAAAUAAUCAAACCGACUAGAUAUAACGUAUCCAAAUCAUAUGUCUAAUCAAAAUAAUAUAAUAUUAUUAACAUAAAUUAUACAUAUAAAUUAUAAAUUGAUUUUAACUAAAAGUAAAUAUCAAUUAAUUAUAGUAUUUUAAUUUUAUAAAAAUUUAUAUCCGUGCAUGAACACACAAAAAUCACCUAAUUAAAAGUAAACAAAGAUCCAGCCGCAUUGAUCAAACUCUAGUUAUAGUUUUAAAAGUCACCGCUAAAACACUAAAGAAAUGAAUGUAUACAAAACAUUAUUUAAUAAGUUGUAGGAGAUAUAUAUUAGCUUUCAAAAAAAGUUGUAGCGAAAAUAUAUUGCUAUAAGAAUUUUUUUCCAUUUAAUUCUUACAACUACAAUCCUAUAAACUAAAUUUCCCAACAAUAUUUCUACCAUUACAGCCUAUCCAAUAAACCUCCUAGUACUCUUAAUAAAGACACAUCCAAAAUAUUUUAUGAAUUGCUCAAUACAAUAAAAUAUUAAUAAUCAAUUAAUAGAUGAGUAUUUUAAGAUAUACAUUUUAAUUUAGAAAAAUUAUAGUCUUUGUAUUUACAAAUUAUCAUAUUAGUAUUUUCGUUUACUGUAUUUUGAGAAUUUACCAUGGGGAGCUUACCGUGAAGGUGCUCCCGUGCUUCUUCCACCCUCCUUUAUUUCCUUAAACAAAAGAAGAAAAGAAAAGUCAAGUGGAUGCUUGAGAUUUUGUUUCUAUAUAAUCUACAACAAACCCUUCAUCAAAAACCUCUUUCCCCUUCACUCUAUCAUCUUCCUAAUCUCCGUCAUAUUCCUCUGUUUUUUGGUUCUUUAUAUUUAUAGAUCUCCUCUGUUUCUUCUCUCUCCUCUGUUUUUCUCUUCUAUCAUCUAUAACAAAACCCAGACCGAGGAAAAACACAUAAAAACUGAAACUUUGAUGGUAGGAAACUAAUGACUCCGGUUCUCUGCGAAAUCUUGCUCUCUGGGCUCACGGUUAAAUCUGCUCUCCGCCGUAGAACCCAUCUCGUUCAAUCAUUCUCCGUCGUCUUCCUCUACUGGUUUUACAACGUUUCAUGAAUUGCUGACAACCCUCAAAUCUAAUCCUUAAACUAAAAUUAAUUUACAUCAUAUAUUAAUUAUUUUCAGACAAUUAAAAAACCCACAAACCAUUUGUCUUUUUUCUUUUUUGUUCUUGUAAUUUUCUUUGUUAACCCUUUUUAUGAUCGACGGCUGUGGAUUCGAUGAUCGUACGGUUGGGAUUAACAGCGACGGAUUUUACGAUGAUAUGAUGAGCGGCGUUAAUCACUGGGGUGGUUCGGUUUAUUCUAACCAGCCCAUCAUGGCUAAUGAUAUCAACAUGUAUUAAAUUAAAAUUAAUUAUAAAACUAGUACUAUUGGCCCCUUUUAUUUUAAGUUUAGCUUUUUAUCUUCUUGUGUUGGUGUGGAAAUGUAAUAUUAUUACAUAUGCAUCCUGAUUGGUUGGAAGGAUAAAUAAACAUAUAUAUGGGCAUAUAUAGGCUGUCCUUUGUCAUGUAUUGUUGUGUGCUUUUUUUGUUAAUUAAUAAUAAAAAUUUCUAAAACUUUUUGUUUGGUAUGAUUAUGUUAUCAUCAUUUUGUUUUCUCCUUGUAAACCUAUACAUUUUUGUUGUUUGAACAACACUAUACAUCUUCUAUUUGACGAAAAAAUAUUGUAAUCUUUUUUUUUAAAUCAACAUGAAUUAUUCUUUCUUACUUCUUAUAAUACGAUUUUUCAAACUGAUUAGUGAGACUAUGAAAAUAUUUCCUCUAAAGUAUAUCAUUUUGAAAGAAAAAAACAAAUGAUAUGAAUAAUAGUACACUAAAUUUGAAAGACUAUUAUUCACAGCCUCACUUUGAUAUUGAACUUUGUUUUCUAAGUUGAUCUUUCGAUUUUUACAUAAUAUUCAUAUAAAUCAUUGUAUAUUCUAUUUGAACUAAAUUUAUAUAUAUAAUAAAAAUUAAUUUAAAAUACAAUUAAUUUUUGGUAAAAUAUGUAAAUUUUCAAAAAAAAGUAUUGUUAAAAUAUCAUAAUAAGUAUUAAUAAAAGGAUAUACUUAAUAUAUUUUUUUGAGGAUAAAAAUGAGGAGAACUAUUGGAAUAAAAUUCAAUUCAUUUUAAAUUGGGUUUUUAUCAAAUAUGACUAAAAACAAAAAGUUAAACACAAAACUAAUCCAUAUUUUUUUUUGGAAUUUUCAUUUGCCCUAUUCACCCCAAAAGUUCGGAUUAUUCAUAAAAAUGCCAUUAUUUUUUUUUCUGAAAAUGAAUGUUUUACACUAUCAUCUUCGUCUUCAUCAAGAAUUUACAAUAUUAUCAUUACCAUCAAUACACCAACUUUCACAGAUCUUAAGACUUUAUUUUGUGGUAUACAAAGAUGAAGACUCUCUUGUCAGGGUUAAAGAUAGAAACAGAAGUGGAAUGAAGUAAUUUUACCUUCGAUUACUAUUACAGAUGUAAAAAUAUCAAUGAGUUAAAGAUAACGGCCCUAAUUUGUGUAUUGUGUCAUAUAGUGCAUUAUGUCAUAUAUACCCAUAGUGCAUUGAGUAAUGACAGAUUGCAACAAAAUAGAAAACAAAUUUAUUAACAAUCCAUUCCAUCAUGAUCAUGUACAAAGUAAAAAGUUUCAGUAAAUAGAUGUAAAAUGAGUGAUUUACACUGCAGGGCAGUUUACAAGUUUCAAUAUCACAAUAAGGCAGUUAUUGCUACUUGGACAGUUUCUGAGUGAAAUGUCUUAACUUGUCCCUGAAAAAUGUGUAACUGGUGGGGUAAAAUUGGAAAAGGGUUUUUAGUUUUCUGGUUACGUUUUUAAAUUUUAAAAUGAGUGAGUGGACCUAAUGAAAGAGAAUUUAGGAAUUACCAAGCGUAUGAAAAAAUAUUGUAUUUUAAAUUUCUAACUUUUGUUGGAGGAAUUUGAAUCUUUAGAAAAUAGUUGCUUACAAUUUUUUUUAGGUUGGAGGAUGAAACAACAGAGAUAGAGAACGUGAUAGAGAGCUAUCGGAGAAACUAAUUUUUAUAUAUAUAUUUUUUUUUUUGGUUUUGGGUUCUAAUCUAUUAAUCUAUAUAAUAUGUAUAAGUUCUAGAGGUAAAACACAAAAACAAUGAAAAUUGCAUGAUAAAAAUCAAUGGCGGUUGUGAGUUAUAUUUGCAGGAAACACAGAAAACCCUAAUAGGAAGAAGAUGAAGUUAUUACAAAAUUGCCACUCAUUAAAAAAAAAUAAUUGAUGACCACGCGGAUGUGUACAUAAUGCUAGUGUACACAUGUUCCUGUACAAGGAUACAUUGGAUGACUACGUAGAUGUGUACAUAAUGUUAGUGUACGCAUGUAUAUGUGCACAUAAUGUUAGUGUACGCGUGUACAUAAUGUUUGUUUUUGUAAAUAUAAAGAUAAGGAAGUGUGGUUUACGUGAAUUAAACAACAUGAUUAUAUAUGUACAUGUGUACAUAUUUACAUGUGCACAAACACAACACAUAUAUAUCUUUUACAUGUGUACAUUGUAUAUUACUAAGGCAAUGUUCAUAAAAUUGUGUAUUCUCACUAAAAUCUUAAAAUCAUGUUUUAAUUCUUUAAUGCCCUGAAAAAUAAAUUAACUGAACUAAAAUCAAAACCAAAAAUCAUAAGAUAUGAAUAAAACACAAAAUCAUGUGAAAUAUUAAGAAUCAAAAAUAUACAUAUGAAAGUAGUUUUGUGUUAUUCAACAUACGUUUGAAGACACGUCAAGAUUUACAAAUGCAUCAGUGUUGUGUUUAGAAAACGUACAAAUGAACCAAAGUCAUGUAGAUACCUAUCGAUGUACACAUGGACAUUAUCAGACAAAAUGAACACAUGUACACUAUAAUAUAUAUGUACACAUAGACAUCCUACUAAACAUUGGAUGGUUAAGAAACCGUUAAUUAUGGCCUGUAGAAGAAUUCAUUAAUGAGUCUUGUUUAGAUGGUUAAGAAAACCGUUAACUAUGGCCGGUAGAAGAAUUCACUAAGGUUAUAAUCCAUGUGAAUGUAACAUCUUUUUUUUACUCGCGUUCGAGAUCGUGACACAAUCACUUCACGCUGGAGAGAUUUACCAUUGUUUUUUUUGAAAGGGAUUUACCAUUGUUGCUUAAGCUUUCUCUCUCCUAUGAUAGUUUAGACGAUGGCUGAGAUUUAUAGAAGAGCUCGAUUUAAGCGGAAGAAACGCAGAGGUGAAGAUUAUGAAGAAGAUGGCGACGGAGCUUCGACGGUGGAUUCAAAACGGUAAGUACCAGAAAUUAAAAGUGACUUGAAAAUCUCCAGAUCUAUCUUUGAAAUAGCACUUUGCAUUUCUUUAGUGGAAAUUAAAACCAAAUGGUUCACGACCAGAGAAAACAAGAAUAAAACUAUGAAAAAGAUAAAACUUUGAUUUGGAACGUUGUUGGUCUGAUUCUUAUUAAUUCCUAAGAAGUCAAGCUAUGUGGUAAUUGUUGACAUUUUUGUCUGUUUUUUUUACCACAUAUGACAUUUUUGUCUGUUUUUUUUGCAGAAGCAGAGAGAGAGAGAGAGAGAGAGAGAGAGAGAGAGAGAGAGAGAGAGAGAGAGAGAGAGUCACCAGGAAAUUGAACAAAUCUGAGAGAGAGAGAGAGAGAGAGAGAACAAAAAGUGGUUGUGACCAUAGUUUCCUUUUGGCUAAUAAAAGAAAAUAACAAUAUUUAGUUAACUUAUUUAGUUAGGAGUUUUAGUUAGUGUAUAGAUAUAAAUUGGGUUUGGUUAGAAAAAACUGCUCUAGUAGCAAGAACUGUCUAAUAGUGUUAUAAAAAUCUUAAAACUGUCAUUCAAUGUAAUUGUUUCUAAAAUAUAAUGCACUAUAGGUAUAUAGGACAUAUGCUACUUACUUGAUCUGUGACAUCUGUCAUAAUCAUGACAUGUCCGUAACGCUAUGAUAAACUAUUUGUGUACUUUUUUUCACAUUAGAGUUUUAGAACCUUUAUAAUAUCUUGAAUGGCCGUGUUCUUUCCGAUUUGAGCCUUAUUGGUUAUCCUAACAUUUAAUACUUUUCCAGUAAUUGGAUAUACUGCAUAGUAAUCAUGUUUUUCACCACUGAAUGGCAGCCCAGACAUCAGCCCAGACAUCUGAAAAGUAAGUAUUAGGAGACUUAGAGCAUCUCCAAUGUAUUACUCUAAAUUUUACUCCAAAAUGGUGUAACUCCAAAAUGAAAUUGGAUUUUACUCUAAUGCAUUACUCCAUUUUUUUACUCCAAAAUAUAUAUUCCUUUUUUAUUUAGUUAAUAAUUGUUAGUAGUACCUUCAACUUAUAAAAAUUUAACAAUUAACACAACUAUUUUAUGUUUGCAAAAUUUUCAUAAUAAUAUAUUUUAUUUAAAUUAAGUAUUUAUCAUUAAAAAUAUAACUAGAGAUUAUCUUCCAAUUUCAAUUCAUGCAGUUUUUAUCAUAUGCAAUUUUUUAAAUUCAAAAAUAUUUAUAUGCGUUAAAAGAACAUAAAGAAAAAAUAAAGUUUUCUUUUGUUAUUUGAAUUAUGUAGUGGGUCCUAUUGUUUGUGCAUAUAUCAAGUUCAAAAAGUACAAAUGUUAUCAAUCAAAAUUUUGACCCACAAGAUUAAAAACUCACCUAUUCCGUAUGAAUAAUACUUUACCGAUUUUGGUAGUUUUGAAAACAAUUUACCGAAUUACUUAUUAAAUUACUUAUUUAUAUUAUAUUAUAUUUAUUUUAUAUCAUUUAUUCUAGUUUUGACUUUAUGAGUUUAUGUAAACUAUUAAAUAAUCUUUUGUGGAGUAUUAUAUAUUUUCAUGUUAUUAUAUUAUUUUAAGUAUGAAAUAAAAUAUUAAAGAUUAAAAGGACCAUUUCAUAAAUAGAAAAAGUUCAACUCCAAAAUGGAGUAAUGGGUAAGAUUACUCCAUAAAUGAAGUAACCCUAACCAUUACUCCAUUUUGGAGUUGAAUAUGGAGUGGGGUUGGAGAAGAUUUUACUCCAUAAUUGAAUUUGGAAUAAAAAAUGGAGUAGGGUUGGAGAUGCCCUUAGUAUAAAAAACAAGAGACAAUUAAACUACAAAUGAAAACCACCACUUACAAAUAUAGCUUCUGAAGAAUCCAUUACUAUCGUCAAAAUACAUGCAUAUUUCAUUUCUCCCCUCCAACUUCUCUCUUAUCUUCAAGAUUUUCAAUUAGAACUUUUGAUGAACCUCUUUCUGUCGAAUCGAGUUAUACGUAAGUUCUUUGCUCUUGUUAACAUCCAUGGUUAUGAAUAGAAACUGGUGCAGCUUGCAUGAGAGAAUAAUGCAAUCUAUAUUAUAAUUUUUUUUGUAACUUAGAAAAAAAAAUUCCAUACUUUUUUUUUUUUUUUAUAUAAAUAGACCUAUUAGUCAAUUUAUGUUAAUUUCCCAAAAUUAGUAUCUAUAUCAAAUUAAUUUUUAUUUUUAACAAAUUUCCUUUUGUUAUCUUACCUUAUUUUUAUAUGGAUUUCUAUUUUUUUAUUAAAUAAACAUUUUUGGAAAUCUUAUCAUUUUAAAAAUAAUAAAUUAAAAUAAUGACUUACGAUAUUUUGAUUGAUGAUUUUAAAUCAUACAUGGAUACUUUCAGUGACUUAUAAACUAAAAUUUAAUCUGUCAUAUAAACUUUUUUUGUCAGCUCACCUAUAAUUUGAAAAUCACGUGUUUUAAAAUUUAUAUAGUUAUAAUUUUUAAAAUCUUACAUUUUUAAAAAAAAAAAUUUGUUAGUUAUUUUAUGUUAAUUUUCAAAAAACAAACUUUUAUUCAUUAUGUUAACUUAUAUAUAAUGUUAUUAUUUUGUAAAUUUUUCUUAUUUAAAAUUGAUUUCUAUUUUAUUUUUAAAUAAUUUUUUUAAAAAAAUAUUGACAUUUUUAGAAAUAGCAAAACUGAUUUGUCAUAUUUUGAUUAGUUGUUUUAAAUUAUAUUUGGAAAUUUUCAAGGGGUUUUUGCCAAAACUAACCCACAACUUGAUUUUAAUUCCAAACCUAUACCCAAACUUGAAUCAAAUGCAAAAUUAACCUAAAAGCCUAGUGAAAUUACAGCUCAGCCCCUUGUGAUCAAACAAAAAAAACAGAAGCCAUUUUUACGAAUAUAGCCCCAGUAAAUCGUCUGAGAUGUUGGAAGUCGUCUGGACGACUGAAGUGUAAGUCGUCUGGUACCAGUUUAUUUUAAAAAUAAUUUAUAACUCUUGUAAAAAAUAUUUUGAUGCGUAAAAAAUAAAAAUCAAGUAAUUAUAAACAGUUUUAACUGAUAUAAAUUAAGAUAUGAUAAAAUUGAUUUGUUUUGAAGAUAUAUGAGUGGAAGUAGUGAAUCAUGAAAUACUUUGGUUUAGGAGUUUGGCAAACAUAUGUUGUAGUAUUGUAUGUAUUGUUAGGGUUAGAUUUUGGAAAACUAAAAUGUUUUUUUCAAAAAUUAGUUUUCACCUAUAUGUGUUUAUUUCUGUGUAUAGUAAACACUUUUCAAGUUUGAUUUGNNNNNNNNNNNNNNNNNNNNNNNNNNNNNNNNNNNNNNNNNNNNNNNNNNNNNNNNNNNNNNNNNNNNNNNNNNNNNNNNNNNNNNNNNNNNNNNNNNNNNNNNNNNNNNNNNNNNNNNNNNNNNNNNNNNNNNNNNNNNNNNNNNNNNNNNNNNNNNNNNNNNNNNNNNNNNNNNNNNNNNNNNNNNNNNNNNNNNNNNNNNNNNNNNNNNNNNNNNNNNNNNNNNNNNNNNNNNNNNNNNNNNNNNNNNNNNNNNNNNNNNNNNNNNNNNNNNNNNNNNNNNNNNNNNNNNNNNNNNNNNNNNNNNNNNNNNNNNNNNNNNNNNNNNNNNNNNNNNNNNNNNNNNNNNNNNNNNNNNNNNNNNNNNNNNNNNNNNNNNNNNNNNNNNNNNNNNNNNNNNNNNNNNNNNNNNNNNNNNNNNNNNNNNNNNNNNNNNNNNNNNNNNNNNNNNNNNNNNNNNNNNNNNNNNNNNNNNNNNNNNNNNNNNNNNNNNNNNNNNNNNNNNNNNNNNNNNNNNNNNNNNNNNNNNNNNNNNNNNNNNNNNNNNNNNNNNNNNNNNNNNNNNNNNNNNNNNNNNNNNNNNNNNNNNNNNNNNNNNNNNNNNNNNNNNNNNNNNNNNNNNNNNNNNNNNNNNNNNNNNNNNNNNNNNNNNNNNNNNNNNNNNNNNNNNNNNNNNNNNNNNNNNNNNNNNNNNNNNNNNNNNNNNNNNNNNNNNNNNNNNNNNNNNNNNNNNNNNNNNNNNNNNNNNNNNNNNNNNNNNNNNNNNNNNNNNNNNNNNNNNNNNNNNNNNNNNNNNNNNNNNNNNNNNNNNNNNNNNNNNNNNNNNNNNNNNNNNNNNNNNNNNNNNNNNNNNNNNNNNNNNNNNNNNNNNNNNNNNNNNNNNNNNNNNNNNNNNNNNNNNNNNNNNNNNNNNNNNNNNNNNNNNNNNNNNNNNNNNNNNNNNNNNNNNNNNNNNNNNNNNNNNNNNNNNNNNNNNNNNNNNNNNNNNNNNNNNNNNNNNNNNNNNNNNNNNNNNNNNNNNNNNNNNNNNNNNNNNNNNNNNNNNNNNNNNNNNNNNNNNNNNNNNNNNNNNNNNNNNNNNNNNNNNNNNNNNNNNNNNNNNNNNNNNNNNNNNNNNNNNNNNNNNNNNNNNNNNNNNNNNNNNNNNNNNNNNNNNNNNNNNNNNNNNNNNNNNNNNNNNNNNNNNNNNNNNNNNNNNNNNNNNNNNNNNNNNNNNNNNNNNNNNNNNNNNNNNNNNNNNNNNNNNNNNNNNNNNNNNNNNNNNNNNNNNNNNNNNNNNNNNNNNNNNNNNNNNNNNNNNNNNNNNNNNNNNNNNNNNNNNNNNNNNNNNNNNNNNNNNNNNNNNNNNNNNNNNNNNNNUUAAAAAUACAAGUUAUUCAAAAACUAACGUAGAAGACUUAAAAACUAGUGGAGAAGACGCGGACGACUUCAGUCUAAGUUGUCUGGACGACUAAACUAUAUGUCGUCUGGUCAACGCAGAGGUUAUUUUUGCAAUUGACUUUGAAAUCUGUUAUUUCGGACGACUGAAAGUUAAGUCGUCUACUAUUGUUUGGUUAAAAAAAAAACUCCAAAAAAGCUAGACGACUUACAUUUCAGUCGUCAGAGGUUAGUUUUGCAUUUGACUGGAUUAUUUCAGAAGUUUGACUUUUUGGACGACUUACAUUUCAGUCGUCUAGUGAAAAUUAAAAUAAUAAUAUUUUUUUAAAAGUAGACGACUUAAAGUUAAGUCGUCAUAGGUUAGUUUUGCAAUUGAAAAAAAAAACUUCAAGAUUUAAUUAUAUACAGACGACUUAUAAUUCAGUCGUCCACGAGACGACUGAAAUGUAAGUCGUCCAGGAUUUACGAGGUUUGACCAGAAUCUCGGAAAAAAAUCCUGGACGACUUACAAUUAAGUCGUCUGGUGGACGACUGAAUUAUAAGUCGUCUGUGUAUAAUUAAAUCUUGAAGUUUUUUUUUUCAAUUGCAAAACUAACCUAUGACUACUUAAUUGUAAGUCGUUUACUUUAAAAAAAAUAUUAUUAUUUUAAUUUUCGCCAGACGACUGAAAUGUAAGUCGUCUGGGGAAGUCAAACUUCUGAAAUUAUCCAGUCAAAUGCAAAACUAACCUAUGACGACUGAAAUGUAAGUCGUCUAGGUUCUUUGGAAUUUUUUUUGAAACCAAACAAUAGUAGACGACUUAACUUUCAGUCGUCUCAGGUUACAGAUUUCAAAGUCAAUUGCAAAAAUAACCUCUGCGUUGACCAGACGACUUCCAGGUAAGUCGUCUACAGCCAGACGACUGAAAGGUAAGUCGUCUACAGCCAGACGACUUCCCAAGUAAGUCGUCUGACGAACAGAUCUGGAAAAAAACUCGAUGUCAUACCUUAAAUUGGUGAGAUAAGUUCCUUAGCAUACAUAAGGCUUCUCCAAGCACACAGAAUCACAAACGAAAGUCACCCACCCAUAAUCGUUAGCUUCUAUGACUCUAUGAACCAUAAAAAUUUUAGAAUCAAAAUCUUGGGUUUUUUUAGCUUAUUGUGGAGAGAAAGUGAGAGAUAUGUUGUGUUUAGUUCACAAGAAUGGAAAAAGAAGAAGGGUAAAUCGAUUUUGGGAGCAUUAAGAGCUUCAAAUUGGUUGUUCAUGGUGGUUGUGGUAUUGAUGACAAUGGCAAUCUUGUAAUUACUUGAAGAUGAUGAGGGUGAGAGAGUAAAAAUGUCAUUUUCGAAAGAAAAAAAUAAAAAAAAAAAUUGAUGGCAUUUUCGUAAAUUAUAUGAACUUGUGGGGUGAAUAGGGCAAAACCAAUUUUCAAAAAAAAAAGGAGGUUAGUUUUGUGUUUGACUUUAAGUUGUAGGUCAAUUUUGCAAAAAUCCCAAUUUUCAAUGACUUAAAGCAUCUCUCAAAAUACACUCUAUUUUGAAGUUUAAAUGUGUUAUUCUCCAAAAUCAAAACUCCAAACUUAACUUCAAUAAUAUUUAUAUUUUAUACCAUGGUCAUUAUAUUUGUUAUAAUUAAUUUAAAUCCAUAAAAUUUUAUAUAUAACUUUCACAUAUAUUAAAUGAUAUAAAUACAUAUAUUUUAUAAAUAACUAGCACAUAUAUUAAAAGACUGUGUAUUUUGGAGAUGUUUUUGUAUCCUUAACUUUUAUAUAGUAUAAAUUAGUUAGUAUGUAGUUUUCUUUGAGCUUUGUUGUUUGAUACCCUGCAUCUCCAUUUUUCUUGAUUAUUGGCUAAUUUUUCAACUAUGCGUCAGUGGUCAGGUGACACAAAACGUUAUGUGGAUCUCCAAGAGAUCCGAGUUCGAAUAUGCUGUCAACAGUGCUUUUUACAUUCUUUCUCCGGGGAAAAAUUCACCUUUUUUUGGUACGUUUUUUAGUCUCUCUCAGAAUUUGUUGAGAAUACAAUUUAAAAUUUAGCGAGACAAAACCUGAACCCAAGAAGGACAAGGCCAAAGAUCUCUACAACAAACUGAGCCUGAUGAAGCUAAGCUCGUAGGCGUUCCGCUUAUUUUUGUUUUUUGUUUUGAACUUCGUUCCACUUAUUUUGACGACGACUUGAUCGGUUUGAAUCCAUAUCUGGUAGUCCGGAUUUCGAGUUUGAGUCAUAGACUCACUGGAUCAAUGUAACAGAAACAGUGAGAGUAGGCAGAGGUUAGGCUGUCACGCAGGUAACAAAAAGCCAAGAACCCUUGUCCGGAGAAAAAGGCUUUGAACGUUGAAUUCCAAAGCAUGUAUAAUUUUGUUGAAUUGUUUAACGGUACUUAUUUUUUUAUGAUUAUUGAGAGUUUCAUGCAAUUUUUAUCCAUGGUUCUAUCAUUCUAUGCCAUAGACCUAAAAAAAAUACUUUAAGAAGAAUGAAGAAGAUACUGGGAAGCUGAAAGACAUUUUUUCAAAUCACUUGAAGCUUUGAUUUAAAGUAGACAUGUGGAUACUGGAUAGAUUAACUAAAUUUUUACCAAAAGCGCGGGGUUAUCAAUUUUUAAAUAUAAAUUAAGAUAUUUUUUUUAUUUGUUUAUAUUGGUAAUCAAACAUUUUCAUUUUAAGUUAAAGUUUAUGAAUUUUAAUAAUGAAACACUCUCAAUUUAUUAAAUCAUAUAUUUUGUUACAAUAUUUAGUUGGUAAAUUGCCACAAAUACCACAUUCAUGGUACCACUUUUCAUGUUUACACUAACCACUUUUACCCUCGCUUUUAAUGAAGGGUAAAAUAUAAUUAUACCCUUAGGAUUAACUAAUUUAGACUUAGGGUUUAGAGUUGAGGGGUGGGGUAGGGUUUUUGGAAGAGAAAAAGACCAAAAUAGCGCUAAUUUAAAUAAUAAUUUAUUAUAUAUAUAAAUAACAAGGACAUAAGAGUCUUUUGUCACUUAAUGAAGAAGGUACUUUUGAAAAUGUCUCAUUAGUGGUGGUAAAAAUGAAAAGUGGUACCAUGAAAGUGGUAAACAUGUAAUUUCCCCUAUUUAGUUUUUAAAUUUAAUAAAAUGAAUGUGUAUAUCUCAUUUUAGAAAAUCUUAAUAAGUAAUUUUACUGAAUAGAAACAGGAGACUAUUAUUUUUCAUAAAUGUGUGAUUUUUAUUAAUUAGUUGCUAUAACUAUGGAAUAUUGUUAUUUAAUGUAAUUUUAAAAAUGCCGAUUGAUAAUUUCAUGUUUCCCUUUAAAGUUGCAAAAAAUCUCAUCGCAUAUUUUGUGGAGAAUUUGAACAUAUGAUAUUUUUUUUUUUUUUUGCUAACCGAGUAUCCUGGCCCCACCGAGGUGGUCCAGACUAGAGAGCGAAGUGAGCAUGGACGCUGCCAGGGCGUCACCAUGUGGCUCACCGUGUAACGGUCUUCGGUCUCGGAUGCUGCAGCGCAUAUGUAAAUUCCGCAGUGGCCAAGGCUCGAACAUAUGAUAUUUAAUUAGUAAUCUAUAACUGAAACAUAUCUUGUAUAUUAUAAUAAUCGUAUAGUUAUAAUUAACUAAAGUUUAUAGUCUAUGCAUAUUUGACCUACGAUCCACAAUAUCACAUAUAUAGUAGGUUUGUAAGUAUAAGUUAUAAUAUUAGUAAAAGGUAUAAGUUAUCCUAUCAUUGGGUUUGAUUAUUAAGUCCAAAUCAUCAAAGGAAAUUAUCUUUAAUGAAAUAUGUUUUAAAUAGAUCCAAAAAGUGUAAUAUCCAAAAAUUCCAAAUCAUGAAAGAUCCGUAUUUCUAAUGAAAUGUGAAUAGGUUUAAAACUUAAAUGAUAUUUUUUUAAUAGAUAAAAACAAGAUUUUAAAUUAAUAGAGUAGAUGCCACUACGCACAAUAUUCUUAAAUUGCAAAAUAUAUAUUGUUUUUGCCAUAUAUAUGAAAUCUCAUAAAAAGGAAGUGUUUGGGACAUUUUACAAAAUUUUAAACAAACUAAGAUUUACCUUGGCAAAUAGAGAUUUUGAAACUGUGUCACUCAACUCUCUCUCAAUCCUACUAAACUAGGAUGAGACCCACGCACGUUAAUACAUGCAUAAAAAUCAUAUAUUCAAAGUAGGAUUGUUCAAUUGAGAGGAUAUUUUGGUUUAUAAAAAAAUUGGAUACCAUAUUAAAAUCAUAUUUGUUUUGGUUUGGUUCAGUUUAUAUAAUGUCGGUUUUUGGUUUAUUCAUUUUAGUCUGGUCUCGGUUUCGGUUUUUUGAUAUUUUGGUUUAUAAAAAUUAGACACCAUAUUAAAAUCACAUUUAUUUUGGUUUGGUUUAUAUACUGUUAGUUUAUGGUUUAUGGUUUAUUCAACUUUAUACCCAAAAAAAACUUAAACUGUAUUUAUUUUUUAUUACAUUUUGUUAAGUUAUUUUAUAUGAUUAAAAAUCAAAUUUAUUAAAUACUACUCUAAUUUUUAAAUAGAAUGUUUUUUAUAUUAUAUAUAACUAUUAAAAAUAAUUGUUAAAUAAAUUAUAGUUAUUAUAGAUUCAUAAGAUGAAAAAAAUGAUUAAUAAUAUAUUAAAUUUAAGACACAUAUAUGUCAAUUAUUAAAAUUAACGUCUAAAAUACAUGUAUAUAAUUAUAUUAUGUAAUUUACAUAAAACUAUACUACUAUAUUUUAAUUAAUCAGUUUAUUUGGUUUAUAUGGUUUGAUCAGUUUAUAUACUGAAUCAUAUCUACAUACCACAGUUUCUAGAAAUAACAUUUAUUCGGUUUAUACAGUGUUACCAAAUUAAACUAAUUUUUUAUUUCGAUUUGGUUCAGUUUUAGUUGGUCUGGUUUUUACCAAGCUGAACACCCUUAAUUCAAAUUACUAAAUCAUAGACAGUUUGCAAACAUGUACUACAAUGAAAAUCUUCGCUAUCAAAAUCAGAUAGUUGGUCUUAUUUUUGCAUCUUAAAUAUAAUACUAAAUAUCAUAGAUAGUUGGUCCGGUUUUUGAAUCUUAAAUAUAAAAUUUUCGCAUUUACCUCGUACUAAAAUGUGUAUCAAGGCAAUUAUAGUAGAUAUUUAUGUAUACAAUAUUAAGUUAAUCAUAUUUAAUUAUUUCUUUUAAUAAGGAAACUAUCAAUUAUACGUAACUGUUUCCAUGCCCAACGAAUAUGGUCUCGAGUUUGGUUUAUUAAAACUUCUUAUCAUAUAUUUUUAUGUUUGGGUGCAAAUUCCAAAAUUGAAUUACAUGGAACAUUUUACGCGGGAUGAACAUUUUAUAUAAAAAUAAUUUUUACGUCUUAUAUAUAUUUUUUAUCUUUGGGUGCAGAUCUCAAAAUUUUCGAUGUGGUAUUUUUGAUGCAAAUUUCAAAAUUAACAUAUUUAUUUAUUUUAAAUGGUACAUAGUUUAAUUUAAAUGAUAUUAUAUAUAUAUAUAUAUAUAUAUUAAAAAAUAAUAUUGUCUGGAUAUUCUAAAGAUUUCUUUUUAAAAACAUCUUAUGUUUGUUAAAACCGUUACUUUGAGUAUAAAAUAAUUAUGAUGAUAAAUAAUUAAGAAAUAUUAAGAUUGGACAAUUUAGUAAAUUUAUAUAUACCAAAGUGUAUUUUUCUAAAAACUUAAAAAAUGGUGUAGUUUUCAAAUUAAUAUCUUAUCUAAGUGUAUGUCUCCAAAUUUUCCCAAAUCUUAUUGGUUGGUGAACCUAACCUUUAGGCCAGGAAUAAGUCUAAAUCAAAACAUUUGAUUACAUAUUAAAACUAAACAUUGAAUUUGAGGGUAUAUCUUUCAUAACCUUUGAAGCAAAUGAAAGUAGUGUUAUUAUUCAUUUAUUUUUGUUGAAUAUCCAAUUAUAAGCACCCAGCAGCAUCGAAGAAACUAAAUAAAGAAGAAUCAUGUAUUGAAAUUCAAUAGUUAUGUAACCCAUGACAUGUAAAAUAUAUAGUCUUAGCAUGUUUAAUUAGUUUUGACCUUUCGUUGACUUUUUAUUACAACCGGGAAACCAACAACCACCGCUAUUUCCGGGACCCCACACUCCUGCGUUCCCUCCCCAUCCCCAUCCUCCUCCGCCUCCCGCACCAUAUCCACCGCCCCAUCCACGUCCUGAGCCAUCUCCAACGCCGCCGUCACCUCCGUCACUUCCACCACCACCUCCUCCAGCCACCUCCAACCCCUCCGUCACCUCCGUCCCCUCCGUCACUUCCGUCACUUCCGUCACUUCCACCACCACCUCCUCCACCUCCACCACCCCCGCCACCACCACCACCGCCACCACCUCCAUUUCCACCACCACCACCACCGCCACCACCUCCACUUCCACCUACUGAGGGUCCAUUGCUAGGGCCACCUCCUACGCCAAUGCCAAUGCCAAUACCAGUACCAACGCCAACAUUGUCGUCAUUUCUAUCAUCUCUUUUCUCCCUUUUGUGGUCAUUGCAUUCUUCAUUUCCACCACUGCCAUCUCUUUCACAUUUUCCAUUUCCUUUGCCGCCGCCUCGUCCUCCACCUUUGCCUCCACGACCUCCUCUUCCCCCAUUUCCUGGACUCCCAUCUCUUCCGUUGCAACCACCGCAGUCUCUUUCUUUCCCUCUACAGCUUUCGCAGCCUCCUCCUUCUCCAUCACUUUCUUGGACUCUUCUUUCUUUGAUAUGUGCACUCACCAUACCAUUUUUAAACGCUUUUCCGGAUCCCAAAUCGGAAGAUUGAUCAGUACCAUUAAAGAAUCUUCUCGGGGGUCCAUAACGUAGCCCUUGAACGGAACUUAAGCUCAAAAGAAACAACACAGCACUAGAAACUAACAAGCACACCACAAUGCUUGACAUUCUCACCAAUAUCUCCAUCGCGAUUUCUCUCAAUCAAAAUCCUUCUCCAUUCCCUUCGUUUUUAUACUCUUCUAAACCUAAGCAAAUUAGUCUAUGUAAUUAAAAUGAGCAGCCACAUGCCAUGAACAUGCAUUACCCAAAUGAAACCUACCAUCUUUUAUAUAUAUUGAAGGAGCUAAACCACAAAGAGGAGAUGACGUUGUAGAAAACUACAUAAAUAUUGGUUCACGCCCCAAGUCCUCGUUAUAGAGUGGUCCAUUUCAAUAUUAUUGUGACCCCAAGCACCAGUGUAUUUUCUAGGCCUGGACGAUUCAUAUUCGAGUCGUUUGCAAUUUGGGUCCUUCUAUUGAGUCUUAAGAGGGGUGUAUUGAAUCUGAAAUUUGAAGUAAUUUGAUUUUUAAUGAGUUUGUAGAUGAUUGCAGAAGAAUUAGAGAAUUUGGUGUGAUUUUUGUUAAAACACUUUAGAAUUUCAUCUAAAACAGUGAGAUUUAGAUUUUAAUUUUUAUAACUAAGAAACUCCCCUCAAACACUCUAGAAACAAUUAAAGUACUCUAAAAUCUCCAAUUUACAUUUUGUUCAAUAACAGUGGAUUUCAAAGUGUUUUAUGAAAUGCCAAGUUCAAUAACAUUGGAUUUUAAGUGUUUUUUUUUUAAAAUUCAUGUUUGAAUAACAGUGAAUUUGUCAUUUUAAUACAAAUCACUUGCCAAAAAAUAUGUUUUAUUUUCAUUAAAUUUUACCCAAAAAAAAAGAAAGAAAAGAGAUUAAUUUAGGCGCAAACAAAUAGAAAAAUGCAUGAAAAAAAAACUUGAUAAAAAAGUAAAUGAAUUCUGUUUUUUGUAACAUCAAGUAAAUGACUAUAUUCCCAUCAGCUGAUUAGCUUGCUUAAUAAAUCUUUUCGGCCUCUUAGUUAAGAGUCAAUCAGUUGUUUACAAUCUCAGGUUCGCUCGAGUUACGUCUGUACAUCUUUGUUCGAGAUCUAUUCUGUUGUCAUUUGUUGUUGUCAAUUUCUCGUAAUAUGCUUUCUUUUGUGAAAUGUCAUUUUCUGUCACAAAUUUCGGUAAACGUGUAGAUAUUAUCUUCAUAAUCAAAGUUGGUAUCACGAGAGAGAAAUGUCACCAACUUUUUGGAGGAAAUGAGUCAUGCUCUUUGUUUAGGAUCAUUUUGUUAACAAUUAUUACCUUUUUAUUACAAAAAAAAAUUAGCUCUUUUAAAUCGUUAUGUUAAACUCUACUUGUAUUUAGCUCUAAAAAACUCUUCUUGUAUUCGUAGAGAUUUAUAUAAAGAAAAAUCUGAAGAUUACUGUCUCUUAAUUUUGGAGCAAAUUCAAAGGCUUAAAUCCUAUGUUUGUUUAAUGUGAUAUAGUACCAACUAAUUCUUUUACAAUCAGGGGCGGAUCCAGGAUUACAUGUAGAUGGGGCACAUAAAAAUUAUACAUUAUAUUGUUUCAUUUGGCGGCACUCCUUAUGUUUUAUACUAAUAACUAUAAAAAAUUAAAAGACCCCAUAUCAUUGGCUUUGCGUCCACCACUGUUUACAACAUAGUAGAAGAGAAGAGAAUGUAGUUAAUCAAUAUUAUACAAAGGAGAUAACUAGAUCUCUUGGUGGUUGAAAGCCAACAACAAAUCAUCAUACGUACAUAAAAGGGGCCUAAAUCAUGCCAAGGAAGUUGGUCACUCUGCCAUGAUAUAAUAUAUAAUACUCUACUAAAAUUUAAUUAUUUCAUUCAUAGAGCUUGUGAAUCCAUAUGUAUGCACUUUACACUAGUCUUCUCUGUUUCGUUUUGCUUAGUUAUGCCAUCAAUUUUUGAACGACGAAUUGGAUUAUAGAAGCAAGAUAUGAUGAGAUAGCGCUGUACUUUCUUAAUUAACAUGUAUUUUCAAUUUGGUACAUCCUUUCAAAACGUUAUUAAGUACGUAAAUGCACAAGUAGAUAACCUUUUCACUUGUAAGACCACCUUAGAUAUGGGAAAUGGAAAUAGUUAUAUUGGCAUGUCACAUGAAUAAUAAAAUAACAGUAUAUCAUAAUUAAAAUUUAAACGCUAAAACUUAAUAGUAAUAUGCCGAAUAAUAACAAAAUGUUUCACAUAUGACCACAAAACAAUGUCUAUACAUAAUUUAGUGCCGUGUUAUUUUUGUAUAUAUGAUCUACCACAAAAAAAAGUUGUUCAUUUUGCAAAAGUCAACUCAUUCUUUUAUAUGAAAAGUCCACUCUUUGAAAGUUUUUAUAUUGUUAAGAUGAUAAAAAUAUACUCAUAAAUGGGGCCAAGUUAUGGUUAUAAAAGCUAGCGUUGGCCUUUAUAAUCACAUCAUCUCAAAUUAAUUGACAAACUAACAAUGGAGUCUCUGUUAUCACAAACACUAAACCAAGUAAUAGAUCCCACACCGUCAGUUCUUCUUAUCACCAUCUCUCUUCUAGUUGUAGUCUACCUCAUCUCACAAUGGUUUAAACCGCUCUACCCUCCCGGUCCCAAAGGCCUACCCGUAAUUGGAAAUAUGCUAAUGAUGGACCAACUCACACACCAUGGUCUAGCCAAGCUAGCCCAUAAAUACGGUGGUUUGUUCCAUUUACGAAUGGGAUUUCAUCACGUGUUUGCCAUCACAUCACCUGACGUCGCCCGACAAGUCCUCCAAGUCCAAGACAUCAGCUUCUCGAACCGGCCCGUGACUGUAGCCAUAAACUACUUAACCUACGAUCUAGCCGACAUGGCCUUCGCUCCUUACGGACCCUUUUGGAGAGAAAUGAGGAAAGUGUGCGUCAUGAAGGUGUUCAGCCGGAAACGGACCGAGUCAUGGGCCUCGGUCCGUGAAGAAGUAAACAAUAUGGUCCGGGAUCGGCCUUGGUUCGGUUUUUAUGGAUUCUGACUUUUUUUCCAACCUUAUUCUUUUACUGUGACAAAAGUUUAGACGAAAAUGAUGAUGGUUCAUAUUAAUUUUUGGUAUGCAACAAUUUUUAAACCAAAACACAUUUUACUAUGUACGUGGUCUAUUUAGUUAAUCAUCAAAAACUGUUCUAGACCCAUUUAAGAAAAUUAUGAUGGUUCAUAUCGGUUCUAGGCAAAUUUCAAAAUUAAAAUAUUAAAGUCUCAAUACUCUUGCAAUGCAAAUUUUAAAUUAACAUAUUUAUGUAUUUUUAAAUGGUGCAUAGUUAUUUAAAGUGUAUUAAUAUAUAUUCAUUAUUUAAUAUGAAUAUCUAUUAAAUAAAAAUUCAUAUUAAUACGAUUUUAUGAUCCUUUGUAUCUUGUUAUAACACAAGAAAAAUAAAUCACUGAUCACAAAAAUUUUAAGGUGAUUUUUAACAUUUUUUGUAAUUUAAAAUCGUUUAAAACUUCAAAAUAUAAAAUAUAAAAAAAAAAUCUAAAUUUUAUAUUAUAUGAUUAAUGUGAUCAUUUAAUUUCUUUUAAUAAUAUAAAAUUGAACAAAAAUGAGUAAAAAUCUAAAAAAUGUUAUCAAAUUUUUAUUAUUCACAGUCAUUAAUUGUCAUAUAUAUGUUACAUAUUAGGUAAUUUUAUAGCUUUUAUUUAAGGAAAAAAAUACACGAUUCUUAUAUUUUGGGUUAAUAUAAUAUUUUUUUAGUAAUUGGAUUUUGGACCAACAUUUUUUUCAAUUGAUUCUUAAGAUGUCACGUAAGCUAAAUUAUCAUUCUAAUUAAGUGACACCUAAGCAAGAUCUCUUUUUAAUUAGUACAAACCGAAGAUUACAAUUUUUUUAAUGAUUUUCAAUUAAUAUAUAAGAGAUAUUAUGACUAGAUCUUAGUUAAUUAUAAGAAGUAUGAUUAACCUCUAAUUAAAUUGUUUUUUUUUUGACUAAACCUCUAAUUAAAUUGUUCCAACCAGUUUCCAACUUCUCUUUAACUUAACACAACACCAACUUAAUUUACGCUACGAUCGUCUCAACUCAUCCUAAUACGAAAAUAAAUAAACAUCUCUUCGGUCAUAUAAAUCAAAACAUUUGAUUACAUAUUAAAACUAAAGAUUGAAUUUGAGGGUAUAUCUUUCAUAACCUUUGAAGCAAAUGAAAAUAGUGUUAUUAUUCAUUUAUUUUGUUGAAUAUCCAUUUAUAAGCACCCAGCAGCAUCGAAGAAACUAAAUAAAGAAGAAUCAUGUAUUGAAAUUCAAUAGUUAUGUAACCCAUGACAUGUAAAAUAUAUAGUCUUAGCAUGUUUAAUUAGUUUUGACCUUUCGUUGACUUUGUCGUCAUUUCCAUUAUCUCUUUUCUUCCUUUUGUGGUCAUUGCAUUCUUCAUUUCCACCACUGCCAUCUCUUUCACCUUUUCCAUUUCCUUUGCCGCCGCCUCGUCCUCCACCUUUGCCUCCACGACCUCCUCUUCCCCCAUUUCCUGGACUCCCAUCUCUUCCGUUGCAACCACCGCAGUCUCUUUCUUUCCCUCUACAGCUUUCGCAGCCUCCUCCUUCUCCAUCACUUUCUUGGACUCUUCUUUCUUUGAUAUGUGCACUCACCAUACCAUUUUUAAACGCUUUUCCGGAUCCCAAAUCGGAAGAUUGAUCAGUACCAUUAAAGAAUCUUCUCGGGGGUCCAUAACGUAGCCCUUGAACGGAACUUAAGCUCAAAAGAAACAACACAGCACUAGAAACUAACAAGCACACCACAAUGCUUGACAUUCUCACCAAUAUCUCCAUCGCGAUUUCUCUCAAUCAAAAUCCUUCUCCAUUCCCUUCGUUUUUAUACUCUUCUAAACCUAAGCAAAUUAGUCUAUGUAAUUAAAAUGAGCAGCCACAUGCCAUGAACAUGCAUUACCCAAAUGAAACCUACCAUCUUUUAUAUAUAUUGAAGGAGCUAAACCACAAAGAGGAGAUGACGUUGUAGAAAACUACAUAAAUAUUGGUUCACGCCCCAAGUCCUCGUUAUAGAGUGGUCCAUUUCAAUAUUAUUGUGACCCCAAGCACCAGUGUAUUUUCUAGGCCUGGACGAUUCAUAUUCGAGUCGUUUGCAAUUUGGGUCCUUCUAUUGAGUCUUAAGAGGGGUGUAUUGAAUCUGAAAUUUGAAGUAAUUUGAUUUUUAAUGAGUUUGUAGAUGAUUGCAGAAGAAUUAGAGAAUUUGGUGUGAUUUUUGUUAAAACACUUUAGAAUUUCAUCUAAAACAGUGAGAUUUAGAUUUUAAUUUUUAUAACUAAGAAACUCCCCUCAAACACUCUAGAAACAAUUAAAGUACUCUAAAAUCUCCAAUUUACAUUUUGUUCAAUAACAGUGGAUUUCAAAGUGUUUUAUGAAAUGCCAAGUUCAAUAACAUUGGAUUUUAAGUGUUUUUUUUUUAAAAUUCAUGUUUGAAUAACAGUGAAUUUGUCAUUUUAAUACAAAUCACUUGCCAAAAAAUAUGUUUUAUUUUCAUUAAAUUUUACCCAAAAAAAAAGAAAGAAAAGAGAUUAAUUUAGGCGCAAACAAAUAGAAAAAUGCAUGAAAAAAAAACUUGAUAAAAAAGUAAAUGAAUUCUGUUUUUUGUAACAUCAAGUAAAUGACUAUAUUCCCAUCAGCUGAUUAGCUUGCUUAAUAAAUCUUUUCGGCCUCUUAGUUAAGAGUCAAUCAGUUGUUUACAAUCUCAGGUUCGCUCGAGUUACGUCUGUACAUCUUUGUUCGAGAUCUAUUCUGUUGUCAUUUGUUGUUGUCAAUUUCUCGUAAUAUGCUUUCUUUUGUGAAAUGUCAUUUUCUGUCACAAAUUUCGGUAAACGUGUAGAUAUUAUCUUCAUAAUCAAAGUUGGUAUCACGAGAGAGAAAUGUCACCAACUUUUUGGAGGAAAUGAGUCAUGCUCUUUGUUUAGGAUCAUUUUGUUAACAAUUAUUACCUUUUUAUUACAAAAAAAAAUUAGCUCUUUUAAAUCGUUAUGUUAAACUCUACUUGUAUUUAGCUCUAAAAAACUCUUCUUGUAUUCGUAGAGAUUUAUAUAAAGAAAAAUCUGAAGAUUACUGUCUCUUAAUUUUGGAGCAAAUUCAAAGGCUUAAAUCCUAUGUUUGUUUAAUGUGAUAUAGUACCAACUAAUUCUUUUACAAUCAGGGGCGGAUCCAGGAUUACAUGUAGAUGGGGCACAUAAAAAUUAUACAUUAUAUUGUUUCAUUUGGCGGCACUCCUUAUGUUUUAUACUAAUAACUAUAAAAAAUUAAAAGACCCCAUAUCAUUGGCUUUGCGUCCACCACUGUUUACAACAUAGUAGAAGAGAAGAGAAUGUAGUUAAUCAAUAUUAUACAAAGGAGAUAACUAGAUCUCUUGGUGGUUGAAAGCCAACAACAAAUCAUCAUACGUACAUAAAAGGGGCCUAAAUCAUGCCAAGGAAGUUGGUCACUCUGCCAUGAUAUAAUAUAUAAUACUCUACUAAAAUUUAAUUAUUUCAUUCAUAGAGCUUGUGAAUCCAUAUGUAUGCACUUUACACUAGUCUUCUCUGUUUCGUUUUGCUUAGUUAUGCCAUCAAUUUUUGAACGACGAAUUGGAUUAUAGAAGCAAGAUAUGAUGAGAUAGCGCUGUACUUUCUUAAUUAACAUGUAUUUUCAAUUUGGUACAUCCUUUCAAAACGUUAUUAAGUACGUAAAUGCACAAGUAGAUAACCUUUUCACUUGUAAGACCACCUUAGAUAUGGGAAAUGGAAAUAGUUAUAUUGGCAUGUCACAUGAAUAAUAAAAUAACAGUAUAUCAUAAUUAAAAUUUAAACGCUAAAACUUAAUAGUAAUAUGCCGAAUAAUAACAAAAUGUUUCACAUAUGACCACAAAACAAUGUCUAUACAUAAUUUAGUGCCGUGUUAUUUUUGUAUAUAUGAUCUACCACAAAAAAAAGUUGUUCAUUUUGCAAAAGUCAACUCAUUCUUUUAUAUGAAAAGUCCACUCUUUGAAAGUUUUUAUAUUGUUAAGAUGAUAAAAAUAUACUCAUAAAUGGGGCCAAGUUAUGGUUAUAAAAGCUAGCGUUGGCCUUUAUAAUCACAUCAUCUCAAAUUAAUUGACAAACUAACAAUGGAGUCUCUGUUAUCACAAACACUAAACCAAGUAAUAGAUCCCACACCGUCAGUUCUUCUUAUCACCAUCUCUCUUCUAGUUGUAGUCUACCUCAUCUCACAAUGGUUUAAACCGCUCUACCCUCCCGGUCCCAAAGGCCUACCCGUAAUUGGAAAUAUGCUAAUGAUGGACCAACUCACACACCAUGGUCUAGCCAAGCUAGCCCAUAAAUACGGUGGUUUGUUCCAUUUACGAAUGGGAUUUCAUCACGUGUUUGCCAUCACAUCACCUGACGUCGCCCGACAAGUCCUCCAAGUCCAAGACAUCAGCUUCUCGAACCGGCCCGUGACUGUAGCCAUAAACUACUUAACCUACGAUCUAGCCGACAUGGCCUUCGCUCCUUACGGACCCUUUUGGAGACAAAUGAGGAAAGUGUGCGUCAUGAAGGUGUUCAGCCGGAAACGGACCGAGUCAUGGGCCUCGGUCCGUGAAGAAGUAAACAAUAUGGUCCGGUCUUUGUCUAGCAACGUCGGUAAGCCCGUUAACGUUGGAGAGCUCAUUUUCACAUUGACACGGAACAUAACGUACCGAGCGGCGUUUGGUGCGGCCUGCGAGACAGAACAAGACGAGUUCAUAAGGAUCUUGCAAGAGUUCUCAAAGUUAUUUGGAGCAUUCAACAUCGCGGAUUUUAUACCGUUCCUAGGGUGGUUUGAUUUUCAAGGGAUAAACAAGAGGCUUGUUAAGGCUCGUAACGAUCUUGACGGGUUCAUCGAUGAAGUUAUUGAUGAGCAUAUGAGGAAGAGGGAGACUGUAAACGUUGAUGAAGAUACAGAUAUGGUGGAUGAUCUACUUGCGUUUUAUAGCGAGGAUUCAUCAACUAAUCGUAAUAAGAACACCGUAAAACUCACACGUGAUAAUAUCAAAGCCCUCGUCAUGGUAAGCCAAAAACGUUACCUUUUUUAUUCAUUGAUUUUCCUCUUAGUAAUCAUUUAAUCCUUGUUCACAUUUUCUAUAAAUAUAUAAGAUAGUUUAGUUGUAAUAAUGUUUAAGCCAAAUUAAAAUUAUUUCGACCAAUUUACUAAAAGAAUAUUUGAAGUUGAUAGUUUAUAGUUUAUAGUAUAUUGGGAUGACUGAUAGUUUCGAUAAUAUUUGAAGUUGAUAGUUUAUAGUAUAUUAGAAGUUGAUAGUUUAUGUAUUACUUUUCUUGUUUGUAUAUAAAAAUACCAUUUUGGUUUUGGAAGUGAUAUAUAUCUUUGUGUUACACUGUUCGGAAUCAUACAUUUGAUUUGAGAUGGAAUAUAAAGUAGUACAGAGUAUAAAUUAUUAUAUUUCAGUUGAUUAUGAAUUUGAAAUUCGUGAUUUUUAACGGUUUUUUGAUAACUAAAAUGGUAGCUCGAUAUACUAAAAUGGUAGCUCGAUAUAUUAAUUUUUUUUAAAACUAAUAUUAAUUUACUUUAUUAAUUACUGGAAGGAUGUUAUGUUUGGAGGAACGGAGACAAUGGCGUCAGGGAUCGAAUGGGCUUUGACAGAGCUUCUACGUAACCCAGCUGAACUCAAACGGCUCCAACAAGAACUCACCGAGGUCGUGGGUCUUGACCGGCGCGUGGAUGAUAACCACCUCGAGCAACUAACGUUCCUAAAAUGCACACUCAAAGAAACCAUGAGACUCCACCCACCGAUCCCACUCAUCCUCCACGAGGCUAUUGAGGACACAAAGCUCCAAGGCUUCUCUGUUCCCAAAGGCUCACGCUUGAUGAUCAACGCCUUCGCUAUCGCACGUGACCCCAAGUUGUGGGUUGACCCGGAAGCGUUUCGACCUUCUAGGUUUAUGGAACCGGGUAUGCCUGAUUUCAUGGGGACUAACUUUGAGUUUAUACCCUUCGGGGCAGGUCGGAGAUCGUGUCCUGGAAUGCAACUUGGGCUUUAUGCGAUGGAGGUGGCUGUGGCUAACAUCAUUCACUGUUUCACGUGGAAGUUGCCUGACGGGAUGAAACCUAGUGAGCUCGACAUGAGCGACGUCAUGGGUCUUACCGCUCCCAGAGCCACGCGAUUGAUCGCAGUGCCUGACACGCGCCUCAUCUGUCCGGUGUGUCCUUGACCAUGGAGAGAGUUUCACUGUUCUGUUCAGGAUUAACGGUUCAAAAGUUUUGUCUUCUCUCUCAAGAUCUUGCUAUCUUUUCAAAAAAAAAAAUUAAAUUAUGUUUUUCCACAUUGGGCAUGCUUUGUUUUUCGUCACAGGGGCUUUUUCUUCCUCAAAUGUAACUGUAAAUAAAUAAUAAAUAAAAUAAAUUUGACAAUGAAAGGAUUUUAAGUACCUUGCAUAGAAAGCAACCCCGAGUUGCUGAAUUUGAAGCUUUAGGCCUCUACACCAUUUGGCUCAAUUUCCGAUCCUUUUUGUUUCGGUCCAAUGUUGAGAAGCUUCUUCUCUGGUUGAGUCUUUGGCUAUAUAGACUACCUUUGUUCUUCACAAUUGGAGCCAUGAUGCUUGGCUUGGAUAGCUUUUGCAUCGUUAACUUUAAGAUUCUCAACAUGGUUUACAAUGGUGUAAACACGGUAAUUCCAAUUCCUAAAAGCUUCUAUAAACCGAAAGUGCGUAGCGGAUAUCAACGAGAGUUUAUUACCCUACAAAGUGUAGACAUAUUUCUGACCAUUUAUGUUUCUCAUACAUCCUCUAGAAUCUAAAUAUGCAACUCAAAGAACAUCAGCAUUAACGUACUUCUAAUAAAUCACACAUAAUGCACUCUUAUAGCUAAUGAAUCGAGUAAACCUAUCAUGAAACAUUAUAAGUUUAAACUUGAAUUUCUCAGACCUAAAUCAAAGCAAACUAUCACAUAGAUCUUGGAUCCCUUUCGGUAAGUGAUACAAACCCCCAUUAGUUAAUGAUCUUGCUUGAUAUACAACUUUGGGGAUGAAAUAAUUCUCUUUUGCCUUUAGAAUAAACGUGCCUUACAGGCCAAGAGUUUCAGAGUAUUCAAAGUUCUGAGAUGGAAGAAGACUGACUGUGAACGUAUUGUAUAUGCAGUAUUUUAGCUUAAUCAUAUACUAUAAAACAACUUCAUCACCUCUACCAUUGUUUUAAUUAAUGCUAUCCAAACCCAUAUACCAAAGACUUGAAAAGAACACCGUACAUAGUGCUUGUAGUCGGAGCUUUAUGAUUUAUCGAUGACAUGUUAAACUUUUUUUUUUUUUUGUAAAAGAAAACGAAACAUGUUAAAACUUUUUCGUCGCUUUCGUACAUAUUAUGGUCCACUCUCUGAUCAUAUAUCAUGAUUAAUCAUCGUCUCUUUCUCUUCACGACUUCAUUUUCAUUUGUUCAUUUUACUAAUGAUUUCACACCACAAUUUGGUGAAAUAUGUCAACCGUGUCCGUGUGCGUGUAUUCGAUUUGAUUAUUAUUAACAAUCUCAUGCUGAAACCUAGAUUAAAUUCUAAUGUUUGACUUCUAAUGUUUGAAAUGUUAAAAAUAUGAAAGUUUUUUCCAUUUGAGAAGCUUGUGUCUCACGGCUAUUACAUGUAAAAUAAUUAUUUGCUGGACAACGCAUUAUGUUAGUGGAGGACAAUAAAAAAGGAAAGAGUAAAACACAAGAUUAAUUGUUGUUUGAUUCUAAAAUACAUAUAUAAGGUCCACAUAUAACAUGUAGCAUCUUAUUUCUAGGUAGGCUAUAGGUAUAAUAUAUGUUUCAAAAAGUUCGUUUUUCUUUCUUAUAACCGUCUGUAACUAACCUUACUGAGUACUAGAAUAACCGUUCUAUGAAAAGAAAAAACGAACCUUACUGAAAAUAUAAAUUAAUAUACUUUUAACUAUAAAACCAAGUGAUAGCUGGUGCUUGUACUGGACGAGCCAAACUAUAUUAUUUUUGAAUAUAGCGGAAAUUCUAAUUUUACCACAAAUCUAAUAGCACAUAUUUACUUGUAGCGGUGGUGCAUAAGAAGAAUCGAUGAGUCAUUACACUAUUUUGUAUCAUUAAAGGAUUUCCAAUUGUUAACAUCAUUUUUUCCUCAAAAUAAAGUAAACUCAAAAUAUGAGUUUAUAUUAUACUCCAUUGGUUUCCUUUAUUUUUCCAUUUAAAAAUAUUGUAAGUAUAUUCCAUAAUACUUAUGAUUAAUUCUAACAAUGAUUGUUAUUUAAUAAUAUUACAAAUUUAUCCUAAAAGAAUAUAUUUUAACUAUAUCUUUUUCAUAUACAUAAUUUAAUUUAUAAAAGAAAUAAAAUUAUUUAUAAGAACUCAGAAUUGUAUUAUGAAAAUAUUAACAAUUUUGUUAAAGCAUAAAACACAAAUAUUAAAUCUUUUUAGAUACAAAAAGUAUAUAAAAUUGAAAGUUCAAUUUAUAAAUGAAAAAUAUAACACUAAAAUGAGUUUGCGAGUAAUAUUCUUUCAAAUUUGAAUAAAAUAAACCUAUUUUUUUCCUCAGAAUGAUGCAUUAUUGAAGAAUGUUUUUCUUCAAAAAAAGGAACUGUUAAAAAUGGUCUUAGAUUAUCUCUAAUAUAAAAUUAUAUUUUUUAUUAAACUAUAUAAAAUUAAAUAAAAUCUAAUAAAAAUAAGAUAAUAUAAAAACACAGAAAUUGAAUAAAAUUCAAAAAAUUAAAUAAAAAUCACAAAAUAAAAAAAAAAUCAUAAUAUUUUUUAAUUCCAAGAUAUUUAAUAAAAAACAAACAUAUCAUUGUUGAAAAUAACAGUUUCAAGCAUAUCACUAAUAACGAUGUGUUUCUCACAUAACCAUUUACAAUGACGUUUUGACAUAUCUAUCAUUUUGAAUGAUGGUUAUCGAAAACAUCAUUAUUGAUUUAUCAACCAUCAUUUUAACGAUGAUAUCGGAAAUUAUCAUUAGAGAUAUGUCAAAAACGUCAUUGUUAAUGGUUAUAUGAAAAAUCACCAUCUUCAUCAGUGAUAUGUUUGAAAUUUUUAUUGUCAACAACGAUAGGUUUGUUUUUAUAAAAAAACUUAUAUUAAGAAAAAAACUAUUUUUGAUUUUUUUAAAAUUUUGUGGUUUUUCUUUAAUUUUGGUUUAAUUUUCUGAAUUUUUAUUUAAUUUUAUGUAUUUCAAUUUAAUCUUAUUUAUUUAUUGAAUUUUUAUUUAAUUUCCUGUAUUUUAAUUUAAUAUAACUUAUUUUGAAAUUUAUUUAAUUUUAUGAAUUUUAUUCAAUUUUCUGAAUUUUUUCUAAUUUUCUGAAUUGUUAUUUAGUUAUCUGAUUUCUUAUUUAAUUUUUCUGAUUUUUUUUAAAUAUUUAUUUUAUUAAUUAAAAUUUUAUUUUUUUUCAAAAAAAACCGACACAUCAUCACAGUUAUCUGUUGUACAUGUCAGUUUUUAGCUUGAUGAACAAGUAAGCCAAGUUGAAGGUUUUUUGUGAUACAUAUGCCACUUUGAAGGUUUGAACUGCUAGUGAAAAAACUUUAACGUUUAAAGUGUCACUACGUGCCACUCUCAAGGUUUUUUAUGCGAUUUUGCCUAUUAAAAUGCAUAGAACAUAGUACAUGCUAUAAGUUUUCAGUCAUAACGUAGGCAUAGACCGAUAAAUCGAGAAUUAAAAACCGAACCUAAAAAACUUAAUUGAAAGCCAAACUAAUGUUCACAAAUAUCUAAAUGCUUUAUAUAUCCAUGGAACCAAAAAAAAAACUAAAACCAAACUGAGAACCAAAUAAGUAUCCGAAUAUUCAAAAUACAAAUUAUAUGCCUAAAAUAUUAUUUAUACUUAGUUACGUUUAAAAAUUAUAAAAUAUACUUAAAUACUAUUUUAUAAAGAAAAAUACACAAAAAAUCGGAUAACCCAAAUAUUUUAUCUAAAAUAUUUAAAAUUAACAUAUUUAUCCAAAAACCCGAACUACCCAAAUAUUUUUUAUCCAAAAUAUAUAAAUUUAUCAGAAUUAUUCAACUUUUUACCCAAAAAAAUCUGAUCUCUUACUCAAAUUAUCUGCAAUUUUCUGAAAAAAAACAGAACCAAACUGAAACUUAAUUGGAUCCAAAAUUUAUUGGAUAGUACUUGGUUCUUAAUAUUGUAUCUAAACUAGACUGAAAACAAAAAAAUAAACUAAAAUGUAACCAAAAUUUAUAAAUAACCGAACAGUUCUAUAUUUUAUAACAGAAAACCAAAAAGUGAACUGGAACCAAACUGAAAACCAAAAAAUAUGCCUACUUAUGAGUUGAAAAAGAUUAAUUUUAAAUAGAAAUUGAGGGAACAAAAUGAUUAAGCAACGAAAGAAAAAAAAGUAGAUUUCCCGUAACUCUCAUUUUCUGCAUUCUUUUUUUUUUUUGAAUGAAUGUAAAAUUUUAUUCAAUCAAACUGUACUACAUCAAGUGCUACUUCUUUAUUUUUUGUACAAAUAAUCAAAAAAUAGAAACUUGAUUCAAACUACCAGUCUCAUCUAGACCCAAACCAGACCAUCAAACUCUCUUCAAAAUGUUUGUGCCCUGUUCCUUUAACAGACAGGAGCUUAAGCCUGAUUGUCUUGUCGAUAAACUGGACCAAACGAGCUGCAUCAUGUGGCUGUUGACCAUGCCUACGCGAGUUUCUUUCUCUCCAUAUCGCAUGAAGAGUUGCUUGUAGAGUGUAUCGGAUGAGGAAUGUCAUCGUUGGAUUAAGCCAAGGUUUGGAUAUAAUCUCAACUAACUCAUUCCAAUCUGCAGAGUAUCCCUCCUGCAUCAUUCCUCCUACUAGCGUUUUCCACACCUGUUCUGAGUAGCGACAUUCGAAGAAGAGGUGGGAGCAUGAUUCCUGUGUGUUGUUACAGAGGACGCAGGUGGUGUCGAGUCCCGUUAUCCACUGUUGCAUUCGGUCCAGAGUUUGAAGUCUACCACGCAAUGCAAGCCAAAGAAAGAAGGAGUAUUUCGGAGUUGAUUGGGAAAACCAAACUCCUUUGCUCCAUGUACAGGUAUGGUGGUUUCCUCGUAUCUGUUCCCAGGUUCUCUUAGAGGAGAAUUUGGUUGCAAAAUUGUCAUCAGCUUGUCUCCACAAUGUGAUAUCAUCUUCCUGGCAAGCACUGCUUCGAAGGGCGUUUAGUUCCUCUUCCACUUCAUUCAGUAUACUCAGCCUAUGACGUCUUCUUCUACUGCGUCUCCCCAACGCCUCCGCCACUGUCGCAUUCUCAGAUAUCCCCAGAUCAAUAACACCUCGAUCUCCUAUUUUUUCUUUAAGGUUACCAUGCUUCGACCAUUGAUCAUACCAAAAAGAAGUUUGUUUCCCACUUCUUAUCUCUUUCUUCAGAAAAGGCUUUGCGAUGUCUCUGAGCUUAAGUAGUUUCCUCCACACCCAAGAGCCAGAGCUUGCGCUUCCCUUAAUCGACCAAAAUGAUCCCUUGCGUAUCAGGUAGCAGUGUAUCCAUUGUACCCAUAGGGAGGGGCCAAAUGAACUGACUCUCCAGAUAAGUUUGAGGCAGUGAACCAUGUUAAUUUCCUUCAGUGGUCGGAGACCCAAACCGCCUACACUCUUGGGUAGACAGACAUCCUCCCAGCUUACCUUAGCUUUGGUUGUCUCUAAACUCGGUCCAGACCACAAGAAAGCAGAGCAUAGCCUUUCUAUUUCUUUCAAACAGCUGCCAGGUAAUCUGAAGGCUGCCAUCCAGAAGUUCGCAAGGCUCGUUAUGACUGAUUUAAUAAGCUGAAGUCGACCCGCAUGAGACAAGAACCUCCCUGUCCAGUUACUCAUUUGUUUCCUGAUUUUCUCGACUAGAGGCAUGUAGUCAUUCACCGUCAUGCGUUUGGUUAAAAGAGGAAGCCCGAGGUACCUAACUGGUAGAUCACCGGAGGAGAAUGGAAAGCUAGACAGAAUGUCUGCUUUCACCGCUUCAGAUAUACCUGCGACGUAGAGAGUAGACUUCUCCAAGCUAAUAUUGAGCCCUGAUAUGGCUGCAAACUCAGCAAAUACUUUCAGCACUCCUUCUACAGAUCUUUUGGUGCCAUCAGUAAACACCAGCAGGUCGUCUGCAAAGCACAGGUGAGAUAGGAGAAUAUUUUUGCACCUUGGGUGGUAGCCAAUGUGCUUGUUCUCUACCGACUUAUCUAGCAUCAGUGAGAGAACGUUGAUGCAGAUGACGAAUAGGUAUGGGGAGAGUGCGCAGCCUUGCCUCAUACCUCUCUUGCUUUGGAAAAAACCCGCUAGUUCGCCAUUGACUUGCACUGAGAAGGAAGCCGUGCACACACAGAGCUUAAUCCAGUGAACAAAUUCCUCAGGCAUGUUUAGUGCCCUUAGGGGCAGGAAUGGCCAAUGUACCGAGUCAAAGGCUUUUGCAAGGUCGAUCUUCAUAGCGCAUCGAGGUGAGAUCUUUGACAAUCUCCGUCGCAAGAAGCAAGUUCUACACUAGUAGCCUGUCUUUAACAAAGGCUGACUGGUUAUAGGAGAUUGUUAAACCUUUUUUUUUUUUGUAAAAGAAAACGAAACAUGUUAAAACUUUUUCGUCGCUUUCGUACAUAUUAUGGUCCACUCUCUGAUCAUAUAUCAUGAUUAAUCAUCGUCUCUUUCUCUUCACGACUUCAUUUUCAUUUGUUCAUUUUACUAAUGAUUUCACACCACAAUUUGGUGAAAUAUGUCAACCGUGUCCGUGUGCGUGUAUUCGAUUUGAUUAUUAUUAACAAUCUCAUGCUGAAACCUAGAUUAAAUUCUAAUGUUUGACUUCUAAUGUUUGAAAUGUUAAAAAUAUGAAAGUUUUUUCCAUUUGAGAAGCUUGUGUCUCACGGCUAUUACAUGUAAAAUAAUUAUUUGCUGGACAACGCAUUAUGUUAGUGGAGGACAAUAAAAAAGGAAAGAGUAAAACACAAGAUUAAUUGUUGUUUGAUUCUAAAAUACAUAUAUAAGGUCCACAUAUAACAUGUAGCAUCUUAUUUCUAGGUAGGCUAUAGGUAUAAUAUAUGUUUCAAAAAGUUCGUUUUUCUUUCUUAUAACCGUCUGUAACUAACCUUACUGAGUACUAGAAUAACCGUUCUAUGAAAAGAAAAAACGAACCUUACUGAAAAUAUAAAUUAAUAUACUUUUAACUAUAAAACCAAGUGAUAGCUGGUGCUUGUACUGGACGAGCCAAACUAUAUUAUUUUUGAAUAUAGCGGAAAUUCUAAUUUUACCACAAAUCUAAUAGCACAUAUUUACUUGUAGCGGUGGUGCAUAAGAAGAAUCGAUGAGUCAUUACACUAUUUUGUAUCAUUAAAGGAUUUCCAAUUGUUAACAUCAUUUUUUCCUCAAAAUAAAGUAAACUCAAAAUAUGAGUUUAUAUUAUACUCCAUUGGUUUCCUUUAUUUUUCCAUUUAAAAAUAUUGUAAGUAUAUUCCAUAAUACUUAUGAUUAAUUCUAACAAUGAUUGUUAUUUAAUAAUAUUACAAAUUUAUCCUAAAAGAAUAUAUUUUAACUAUAUCUUUUUCAUAUACAUAAUUUAAUUUAUAAAAGAAAUAAAAUUAUUUAUAAGAACUCAGAAUUGUAUUAUGAAAAUAUUAACAAUUUUGUUAAAGCAUAAAACACAAAUAUUAAAUCUUUUUAGAUACAAAAAGUAUAUAAAAUUGAAAGUUCAAUUUAUAAAUGAAAAAUAUAACACUAAAAUGAGUUUGCGAGUAAUAUUCUUUCAAAUUUGAAUAAAAUAAACCUAUUUUUUUCCUCAGAAUGAUGCAUUAUUGAAGAAUGUUUUUCUUCAAAAAAAGGAACUGUUAAAAAUGGUCUUAGAUUAUCUCUAAUAUAAAAUUAUAUUUUUUAUUAAACUAUAUAAAAUUAAAUAAAAUCUAAUAAAAAUAAGAUAAUAUAAAAACACAGAAAUUGAAUAAAAUUCAAAAAAUUAAAUAAAAAUCACAAAAUAAAAAAAAAAUCAUAAUAUUUUUUAAUUCCAAGAUAUUUAAUAAAAAACAAACAUAUCAUUGUUGAAAAUAACAGUUUCAAGCAUAUCACUAAUAACGAUGUGUUUCUCACAUAACCAUUUACAAUGACGUUUUGACAUAUCUAUCAUUUUGAAUGAUGGUUAUCGAAAACAUCAUUAUUGAUUUAUCAACCAUCAUUUUAACGAUGAUAUCGGAAAUUAUCAUUAGAGAUAUGUCAAAAACGUCAUUGUUAAUGGUUAUAUGAAAAAUCACCAUCUUCAUCAGUGAUAUGUUUGAAAUUUUUAUUGUCAACAACGAUAGGUUUGUUUUUAUAAAAAAACUUAUAUUAAGAAAAAAACUAUUUUUGAUUUUUUUAAAAUUUUGUGGUUUUUCUUUAAUUUUGGUUUAAUUUUCUGAAUUUUUAUUUAAUUUUAUGUAUUUCAAUUUAAUCUUAUUUAUUUAUUGAAUUUUUAUUUAAUUUCCUGUAUUUUAAUUUAAUAUAACUUAUUUUGAAAUUUAUUUAAUUUUAUGAAUUUUAUUCAAUUUUCUGAAUUUUUUCUAAUUUUCUGAAUUGUUAUUUAGUUAUCUGAUUUCUUAUUUAAUUUUUCUGAUUUUUUUUAAAUAUUUAUUUUAUUAAUUAAAAUUUUAUUUUUUUUCAAAAAAAACCGACACAUCAUCACAGUUAUCUGUUGUACAUGUCAGUUUUUAGCUUGAUGAACAAGUAAGCCAAGUUGAAGGUUUUUUGUGAUACAUAUGCCACUUUGAAGGUUUGAACUGCUAGUGAAAAAACUUUAACGUUUAAAGUGUCACUACGUGCCACUCUCAAGGUUUUUUAUGCGAUUUUGCCUAUUAAAAUGCAUAGAACAUAGUACAUGCUAUAAGUUUUCAGUCAUAACGUAGGCAUAGACCGAUAAAUCGAGAAUUAAAAACCGAACCUAAAAAACUUAAUUGAAAGCCAAACUAAUGUUCACAAAUAUCUAAAUGCUUUAUAUAUCCAUGGAACCAAAAAAAAAACUAAAACCAAACUGAGAACCAAAUAAGUAUCCGAAUAUUCAAAAUACAAAUUAUAUGCCUAAAAUAUUAUUUAUACUUAGUUACGUUUAAAAAUUAUAAAAUAUACUUAAAUACUAUUUUAUAAAGAAAAAUACACAAAAAAUCGGAUAACCCAAAUAUUUUAUCUAAAAUAUUUAAAAUUAACAUAUUUAUCCAAAAACCCGAACUACCCAAAUAUUUUUUAUCCAAAAUAUAUAAAUUUAUCAGAAUUAUUCAACUUUUUACCCAAAAAAAUCUGAUCUCUUACUCAAAUUAUCUGCAAUUUUCUGAAAAAAAACAGAACCAAACUGAAACUUAAUUGGAUCCAAAAUUUAUUGGAUAGUACUUGGUUCUUAAUAUUGUAUCUAAACUAGACUGAAAACAAAAAAAUAAACUAAAAUGUAACCAAAAUUUAUAAAUAACCGAACAGUUCUAUAUUUUAUAACAGAAAACCAAAAAGUGAACUGGAACCAAACUGAAAACCAAAAAAUAUGCCUACUUAUGAGUUGAAAAAGAUUAAUUUUAAAUAGAAAUUGAGGGAACAAAAUGAUUAAGCAACGAAAGAAAAAAAAGUAGAUUUCCCGUAACUCUCAUUUUCUGCAUUCUUUUUUUUUUUUGAAUGAAUGUAAAAUUUUAUUCAAUCAAACUGUACUACAUCAAGUGCUACUUCUUUAUUUUUUGUACAAAUAAUCAAAAAAUAGAAACUUGAUUCAAACUACCAGUCUCAUCUAGACCCAAACCAGACCAUCAAACUCUCUUCAAAAUGUUUGUGCCCUGUUCCUUUAACAGACAGGAGCUUAAGCCUGAUUGUCUUGUCGAUAAACUGGACCAAACGAGCUGCAUCAUGUGGCUGUUGACCAUGCCUACGCGAGUUUCUUUCUCUCCAUAUCGCAUGAAGAGUUGCUUGUAGAGUGUAUCGGAUGAGGAAUGUCAUCGUUGGAUUAAGCCAAGGUUUGGAUAUAAUCUCAACUAACUCAUUCCAAUCUGCAGAGUAUCCCUCCUGCAUCAUUCCUCCUACUAGCGUUUUCCACACCUGUUCUGAGUAGCGACAUUCGAAGAAGAGGUGGGAGCAUGAUUCCUGUGUGUUGUUACAGAGGACGCAGGUGGUGUCGAGUCCCGUUAUCCACUGUUGCAUUCGGUCCAGAGUUUGAAGUCUACCACGCAAUGCAAGCCAAAGAAAGAAGGAGUAUUUCGGAGUUGAUUGGGAAAACCAAACUCCUUUGCUCCAUGUACAGGUAUGGUGGUUUCCUCGUAUCUGUUCCCAGGUUCUCUUAGAGGAGAAUUUGGUUGCAAAAUUGUCAUCAGCUUGUCUCCACAAUGUGAUAUCAUCUUCCUGGCAAGCACUGCUUCGAAGGGCGUUUAGUUCCUCUUCCACUUCAUUCAGUAUACUCAGCCUAUGACGUCUUCUUCUACUGCGUCUCCCCAACGCCUCCGCCACUGUCGCAUUCUCAGAUAUCCCCAGAUCAAUAACACCUCGAUCUCCUAUUUUUUCUUUAAGGUUACCAUGCUUCGACCAUUGAUCAUACCAAAAAGAAGUUUGUUUCCCACUUCUUAUCUCUUUCUUCAGAAAAGGCUUUGCGAUGUCUCUGAGCUUAAGUAGUUUCCUCCACACCCAAGAGCCAGAGCUUGCGCUUCCCUUAAUCGACCAAAAUGAUCCCUUGCGUAUCAGGUAGCAGUGUAUCCAUUGUACCCAUAGGGAGGGGCCAAAUGAACUGACUCUCCAGAUAAGUUUGAGGCAGUGAACCAUGUUAAUUUCCUUCAGUGGUCGGAGACCCAAACCGCCUACACUCUUGGGUAGACAGACAUCCUCCCAGCUUACCUUAGCUUUGGUUGUCUCUAAACUCGGUCCAGACCACAAGAAAGCAGAGCAUAGCCUUUCUAUUUCUUUCAAACAGCUGCCAGGUAAUCUGAAGGCUGCCAUCCAGAAGUUCGCAAGGCUCGUUAUGACUGAUUUAAUAAGCUGAAGUCGACCCGCAUGAGACAAGAACCUCCCUGUCCAGUUACUCAUUUGUUUCCUGAUUUUCUCGACUAGAGGCAUGUAGUCAUUCACCGUCAUGCGUUUGGUUAAAAGAGGAAGCCCGAGGUACCUAACUGGUAGAUCACCGGAGGAGAAUGGAAAGCUAGACAGAAUGUCUGCUUUCACCGCUUCAGAUAUACCUGCGACGUAGAGAGUAGACUUCUCCAAGCUAAUAUUGAGCCCUGAUAUGGCUGCAAACUCAGCAAAUACUUUCAGCACUCCUUCUACAGAUCUUUUGGUGCCAUCAGUAAACACCAGCAGGUCGUCUGCAAAGCACAGGUGAGAUAGGAGAAUAUUUUUGCACCUUGGGUGGUAGCCAAUGUGCUUGUUCUCUACCGACUUAUCUAGCAUCAGUGAGAGAACGUUGAUGCAGAUGACGAAUAGGUAUGGGGAGAGUGCGCAGCCUUGCCUCAUACCUCUCUUGCUUUGGAAAAAACCCGCUAGUUCGCCAUUGACUUGCACUGAGAAGGAAGCCGUGCACACACAGAGCUUAAUCCAGUGAACAAAUUCCUCAGGCAUGUUUAGUGCCCUUAGGGGCAGGAAUGGCCAAUGUACCGAGUCAAAGGCUUUUGCAAGGUCGAUCUUCAUAGCGCAUCGAGGUGAGAUCUUUGACAAUCUCCGUCGCAAGAAGCAAGUUCUACACUAGUAGCCUGUCUUUAACAAAGGCUGACUGGUUAUAGGAGAUGCAUUGGGGGAGUGUGCUCUUCAGUCUGUUUGCUAUAAUUUUGGAGAUGACCUUGUAUAGGACAUUGCAGCAGGAGAUUGGUCUGUAGUCUCGCAUCUCCUGUGCAUUUUCUGUCUUCGGGAUGAGUGCCAAGAUUGUUGCAUUGAGACCUGUGGGGAGGAAACCUUUGCUAAAGAAGGAUUGAACCGCAGCUGUCAAAUCCUUAGCAAUGAUGGGCCAAGACGCCUUGAAGAACUCCGUAGUGAAGCCAUCAGGUCCAGGUGAUUUGUCGCUCAGCAUUCGAAAUACCACCUCCUUGAUCUCGCUCUCUGUUACUGGCUUUAUCAGCAUUGCCCUUUGCUCGUCAUUGCAGCGGAAGGGUACGAGAUCUUGGAGAUCAGCAACUGUCUUCUCUACCAUACCCGGAGGUUCCAAAGACAAAAACUCAUUGAAGAAUCUCUCAGCCUCGUGUUUGAUCUCCUCUUGAAAAGUGACAAUGUUCCCCGAGGAACACUUGAUUUCUCUGAUAGCAUUUCUGGUUUCUCUGACCUUUGCCGCAUUGUAGAAAGCUUUGUUGUUUCUGUCUCCUACUUGUAGCCAGUGGAGCUUAGAGCGUUGCUUGAGGACCUUCUCCUCAAUAUUUGAGAUCCUCUGCCAUCUCUCUGCUGCCGUUUGCUCCGUUAAGAUGUUUCCUUCGGUGGGAUCUAGCAUCACCUUCUCUUGCUUCUCGCAUAGGUCCUGGUAAGCUUCUUUAACCCGCUUCGUAAGUUCUCCAAGUUUAUCUUUGCUCAGUCUUCGGAUCAAAGGUUUGAGGCCUUUGAGAUACUUGGAGAAUCUGAAGAGGGCAGUUGUGGACUGGAACAAAGGCGUUGUGUCUUUCCAAUAGUCUGAAACUGUUUCCAAGAACUCCGGAGUUUCUACAAUAACAUUAGAGAACUUAAAAGGUCUGCGUUUUCCCACUGCCUCAGCCCGGAGAUGAAAUCUUCCCCGAAGGUGAUCUGAGCAACCUCCCGCCUCAAAAAUGCCAUAAGCUUGAGUUCGCUGGUUGAGCCAGGUCUCAUUUACCAGAAUUCUAUCCAAUUUUUUGCAGACCGUUCCUUCUCCCCUCCUGUUGCACCAAGUAAACUUCGGACCCUGAUAUCCCAUGUCGAGCAAUUUGCAAUGUUGAAUAACACUCUCAAAGUCCCGCAUUCCUGGAGUAGUCAGACCCGAAUCUUGGUAGCUGGAGUGCUCAUCCCCAUCUAGUAUCUCAUUGAAGUCUCCCAUUAUUACCCAUUCCUUAUUUUUGAACAUUGGUGAGUUCUGAUGAGACUUGAUAUCUUCCCACAACUCUUUUCUCUUCUCUGCAGUGUUUUCCGCAUAGACAAAGGAGCAGAGAAUCUCCUCGUCUUCCCCUUCCACAAAAACUGAAACCGUAAUUAUCUGAUCAGAUUUGAAAACCGGAGUCACUCUAACUUGCGAACUCCAAAGAACCCAUAUCCUCCCUUUUCUACUAAACUCGUAAUUAUUUACAAAUGACCAGCCUGGAAAAUUUGUUGAGACAAUUUGAGCUGAUUUGCUCUCCUUGACUCGAGUUUCCAACAGACCACCAAACUGCAAUCUCUUAUUCUGUAUCCAUUGACGGACGACUUUGUGCUUAGCUUCCUUGUUAAAUCCUCUCACGUUCCAGAAGAACCCAGUCAUUGAGAUGAUUUGCGAGACCGUUUUCCCUGAGUUCCAGGGUCAGUGUCUUUGUUGGUGUGCUCAGAGAAGAUCUUGUGGUUAGUCUUGGAGCUUCUUGGAAGAGAAGGCCGUAGACAACUCCCUCCACCAACACCAGUUCCUUGACGUUCCUCUUUCUCAGAAUUGCUCCCAUUCCCUUUAUUUUGCUCCACCCUCGAAGUCUUCGUUUCUAGGGAGACCAACUGAUCCUCGAUCACAGCGGUUUCACUAGAUGUAUUCUCUUUAUCUUCCUCAUUCAGAAUUCUUUCCCCCAACUCCUUGCCUUCUUGAUUAUCUUCUGUUGUGGUGCCCUCAUCAUCCUCCUCCACUACAGUUUCCCCCCUGUUGCUAUCGCUGAUAUUGAUUACCAAGUCACCGUUGUCGUCUGCAUCAUUAAGCGCUGAGAACCUCGAUGGGGUGGCAAUUCUCUCUUGGCCAUACUUUGGAGUUGUUGCUGUUGGGUUUCUGCUUGUUUUCCCCGGGGACACUCGAGACCAGCCCUUUACAACUUCUCCCUCCUCAAUUUCCCCUUCGUCCAUUGCAACUUCCUCUGCUUCAUCUUCUACUACAAUCUCUUCUUCAGCCGCCAUUUUCCCAGCAGCAUCAUCUUUACCUGCAACAUCCUUAUCUCCCUCUGUCAGUAUCUGUUUCUCCACUCCCCUCUUAUGUUGUUCCUCCAGGCCAUUUAUGUCCUUUACUGCCUCCCCCUCGUUUGUGUCUGCCUGCUUCUUACUAAUGUACCCAGUUUCUAUUAUCUCAGUGACAGUUCUUGGGAAAUCUUCCUUCUUGUUCAUGAGGCAGGUCUUCUCCGUGUGGCCCAUUUGCUGCAAGUGUAACAGCGAUCAGGUAGCCAUGGGUAGACAAAUUCUACCAGCGAUGACUUCCCGUUCUUUGUGAAGUUGAUUUUCUUCGGCAAAUCUUUUGAGAGGUCAGCGUUGACAAAUAUUUUUGCAAUCUUGAAAUUGGAACACGCCGCUGUCUCUGGAUGGAGCUUCACUGGAUGUCCCGCUGCACUGGUGAUAAAGCUUAGGCCCUCCCACGAGACCAUGUUCAUCGGAACAUUCUUAAGAUGCACCCAAAGCGGUAUCGAUUUGACUUCCGGUUUCUCCUCCAGCUCUUUCGGAGUCCAUUUUGCAACCACCAGAGGAAUGUUUCCGAUGUUCCACAUCCCCCUCCUUAAGAUUCGUGCUCUCAUAGCUGCAUCGCUUACCCGAAACUUCAUUGUUGUGGAAUCGAUCUCGUAGACUUCCACUGCCUGCCCUCUGCCUCCAUCUCUCCAAAUUUUGUUCACAACCGCGUGAAUCCUCGCGAUAUGAGGCGCCGUGUCCAGAAACUUUCGGAUUAGGAAAUCCUCCCAAAGAGGAUUCACGUUGAAUACUACUUCAUCAGGUAUCUCCACGUUGAGUUGACCCUCUGAAUCUGUAACUUCGACGGAAUACUUCCGCAAAACCUUCUUCUCUGUCGCAACACCAACCCAUGAUUUCGACGGAGCCCCUUCCUGUCGCUUCUGACCGUUCUCCAAACCUGCUGACCCUUGUUGUGAGCCCUCUUGAACCUUCCUCGUAGCCGGAGCUGUCUCAGAUGAGCCCGGCGGCCGCGCCGAAUCCAUCGCAAAGAUGCAUCCAACUUCUGCAUUCAAACAUAAAGUAGUUUCAAAUGCAAUGUGAAAAGAUGCAUCCAAGUAUUAAAAUGGUUCCAUGUGGAAGUAACGUGAGAGGUGUUCUAAAUCAUUAUGUUUGUCAUAAUAUAUGUAACGAAGUUGCCGUCUUAGCUCAGUGGUAGAGCGCGUGACUUUUAAUCCCGUGGCCGUGGGUUCGAUCCCCACAGACGGCGACCAUGUUUUUUUUCAUUCCUGUCGAUGCCAAGUCUCAGUUUUCAAGUUGUUCUUGACUUGUAAAUGUUGGAUAUCUUCAAAAGUGAAGCAAGUAAAAAGGAUUCAAAAUGUUUCAACUUGGGAUAGAAUCAAAAUGGUUCAACUUGGCUAAAUGGAUGGUUAAUCUAACUAUUGAAGCAGAGAAGUGAGAUCAGAGCACACAGGAAGAUACACGGUACAAACAAACACAGUCCGACAGUGGAUUGUACACUGAUGCAAAACAUGUAUAGAGACGAUGCAGAAUAUAUUGGACGCUAAAGAAUAGGAACACGAAAUCUUUUCAUACAAGGCCAGCAUAGCAGCUAGCAAAGCAUGGGAUUAAUGUAUAUUUUUAACAGUAUUCAAGAAAGCAGGCUUGAGAUAUUUCACACAGAAUUAUAAUACAAGUGGCAGUCAGCAACAGGGAUGUGUUAUAAUGAAGUUAUAAAGAAGAAAUCGAGAUACAAUAUCUUGUUUUAUUACUCUUAUAUGUUUUGCUUGUAUCAAAUCCAUGCAGAAUUAAAACCAUAAUAGCAAAGCUUUUAUCUUAUUAUUCUUCUUCUUUAUCUUUGGUCAAGAAGACAAGGAAAAUAAAAACCGGUCACUUCUGAUACAUCAUGAUAGGGCUUUGGAGGGAUCACGCUGUUCUCUUAAUGAUAUGGACUCCACUGUCUGUAUCCACAAUAUCACUUAUAUCACCAACCCUGAGUGCGUAUGUUGCUUCCUCAAACGGUUUCUGCAUCUGACCUCGCCCAAACGGACCUGAACACACGUUCGUACACAAUCAACAUCCCAACACUUUCACCAUAAGAUCUAUAGACGAAAUUCAUCAAGAAUACAGAUGAAUCAAAGAAGAAUUCUACCGUCUGUAAUGAUAUAAGUAUAAUCCAAUUUUCAAUUAAACUUGAAAUCAAUUAAUCUUAAUCACUCGCUGUAUCUUCACUACGCAGUUGAAAUGGCAUGACAACGAAAUAGAGAUUCGAGAAGAGAACAACAAACCUAGAUCGCCGCCGCGUUUGGCGGAGCUACAGUCGGAAACGCGAGUGGCCACAUCCUCGAAGUUAGCUUUGCCAGAGACGAUGUCUUCGCGGAUCGAUCUAAGCUGUUCGACGGCUGCUUCUCUGGUAGUAGUCAUAAUGAUCUUUCCUUCGGGAUCCUUCCACGACGCCUUCCUACGAGACCCUUGGUGCUUGAUCAGAAUGUGCGACGCCUUAACUUGGUCUCUCGACGCCAUCUUCUUCCCGGUGAUUGUGCUGCUUGUGGUUAAAGUGUGCGGCUCUCUUUUCUUUGAGAAGCAUCUUUUAUAAGGUAAUUCGGUUCGAUUCGGUUUAAUUCUGAUUGGUUUGAUUCGGUUUAAAUUAUGUCUUUAUAAAAGUUUUUUGAGUUGUACAAUUUAUUCUACAACGCCUCAAGCCUGUUUUGAACUUUUGAAGCUCUUUUGCUUUCAACGGAAGAAGGGUCCCAUUUUUCGUUUCAAGCUCUCAAAUUAACAAAUUCUUGUUCUCUUUUUUUUUUUUGUUCUUAGCAAGAAAACGCAGAGUUUGCAUUAUAAAUUCGAUAUAUCUGAUCCUCCUCUGUGGACAUAUAGAUCCCUGAGAUUCAAUUAACACCACCUCAAAGGUGUAUUCUUCAUCUUCUGGAUUUGCGAAAUUCCCUAAGUUUAACGUAUUUUGUUUGGUUGGAGUGGAGGAUUUUAUUAACUCAUACCAUAAAACGUCCCACAUCGGCAAGCUAAAGAAAGUUGGCAUAAGAUUGGCAGUAUAAGAAGGAAGCCAAGCCUCACUUCCAAAUCAUACCUUUCUCGGCCUUUUGGCUAAGAUCAAGUGUAGUAUCUGUUCUUAUCAGUUUAAUAUCUGAUAUGUGGUCCAUUGGAUCACACGAUAUUAACUUUAUUUUUUAAGGGAGGAAACCCAUCAAAAUAGCUUGCUAUUUGGGUUUCUAAGAGUCGUCCAUGCGUUGCACUAUUGCAUGGAAUUAGGCUUAACCCGCCAAUUCACUAGUUCUACUCUUACUCGGAUGUCUACGCCUAUGUAUUGAAAGGUUUUGCUAAUGAAUGAUUUUAUUAUAAGUAGAACAAAACUAUUAGACAAAAUUUCAUAAAUCGUCGAUGUAAAUAGGCAUGUUAUUAAGUAGCUUCACUCCUUUGAUUUUAUCUCUGCAAUUAUUUCCAUCCUAGAAAUCUAGGAUAUAGAUUUAGCUUACAUGAAUGCUCCAAAGCUGUAUAUAUGUAUCGGUCUUUGUAUUCGAAAUAAAACCAGAGUUCUCCCAGAAAGUGUAGCAUGUUUUUCAUUACCAGCCAUUGUAGGAAGGAGAACUUAGGAGUUGCAUGAGCAAACCAAGGGGUUAUUGGAUACACUGAUCUGAUUUGGUUCCAAUUGUCUUUUGAGGAGAAUUUGUCCUUUGCAUUUGUGUCCAUGCUUUUUCAUAAGUGAAAUGUCUGGUUUUCCUUGCAAUGCUCUGCUUUUCACCCUUUUGAUCUCAUCCUCUAUCUCAGUUAGUACAGCAACUCCAUGUCGUCUUCGACGAUGCCGCUCAGAAACACAGUCUUUGCAUCACCAAUUCCCAAAUCAACCACGCCGCGAUCACCCAAAAGUUUUAUAAGGCAGGCCAAAUUUCGACCAAGAGUCGUACCAGAAGGACAUUCCUCUGCCCCUUCUCAUCUCUACCCGAUUGUCUUCUACUCAAUUUCUUAUAAGUUAGAUAGGUAAACGAGUGUUGAUUUGAGUAGUAACACAUGCCUGUUAUAUACCUCAAGUCGUAUAAACUAUAGACAGCUUCUUUUGAAUAGCAAAUGGAAAGGAAAAAAGUAAAGUUAACGGUUGAGAUAAGUAGCAGAUGGUACAGGUAAAGUGUCUUCCAUUGUGUUCUUAUUUUCAACUAAACAAGAUUCAGCGAGAAGAGAGAAGAAAAUGAAAUGCUUAGGUAUAAUCAAAAUUUGUGAAAUGAAUAUUUGAAAAUUCAUAAUGUAAGGCUUUUUAACCAAUAGAAAGACAGGAGAAAAUUAUAACAAAAUCUUUUUGAGAUUACACAAGGUCAAAAGGAAAUGCAACAAUGCUCCAAUGGAAGAAACAAUUAUAACUUGUGAAACCUACUUGGCAUUGGAGGCGGAAGUAGCAGCCUGACAACGGAGGAUGCAAGGGUUAUACUGUUUAUUUUGCAACAAGUCUCUUUGAUCUCAAACAAUACCUGCAACUCUGAAACUGCUUUGAUGUAUGAAUCUUGACACAAGCGGUAAAUGUUGGAUUUUGUUCCAAAUAUACAUUUAGAUGUUAGUAUGAUGAUUGCUAUGAGAGGAACAUUGUUACACCUCUAAACAUACAACUUGAAGAAAAAAUUAGCUUGUGUUGGGACUGCUUAAUUCUGAGAAAAUGUCUUAUUGAUGCAUGAGAAUAACGUGAAAAUAGUGUAGUCAAGGGAUUCUAAUGGAAUACAGCAAUAUAACAAAAUCUUUAGAGAUUUCACAAUUUCAAAAUGAAACGCAUCAAAAUUAACUCCGGGAAAACAAACAAACAAACCGUAGACUGCCACACCACGAGCCAUAAGGCCAUGAGUUAUGGGAGUGGCUCAGCCCGCCAACUCACUAGUCUAACUCUUACGCGUAACUCACUAGUCCAAUUCUUACGCAGAAGUCCUUCCCCAUAUAAAAAUGAAAGGCCUUGCAAAUUAUCAUCCGUGCAGAUAGGCAUGUCGUUAAGUAGCUCUCCUCCUUUGAUCUUAUCUGUGUGAUUAUCUCCCUCCUAAGAUAUAGAGAUAGGUCAUCAUCAACUUUCUCAAUGGGCUUACAUGAACGUACCAGUCUAUGUAUUUGAAAUAAAACCAGAGUUCUCAAGACUUAAAAGAAAACAAAAUUAUAUUCAUUUAGUGUAUUUGGAUAUGAGAGAAUCCAUAUGGUUGAUCUUCUUAGCGUACAAUUUGAUAUGGGACAUGAACGUGAGAGCUCCCUAUCAGACAUUUACUUUAUUGGUACUUGUCUGUCAUGCAUCGAUCUGAUGUCUCCCUACGAUCUAAUCACAGAUUGAUGGAAGAGAUGAAUUUUUGUGUAAGACACAAUUACAGCAGAUAUAUCUUCCUGGUUUUCCCUAGAUCCUCUCCCCACCCCUAAAUAUGUUAUUAUCACAUCACAUAUGUCAGACACAACUCAUGCAAACCACUCCAUUUCAGGAGAUUCUACAUGUGUCCUUGAUGCAAACACUGGUCUGAAUAUGCUACCACACAAGUUUAGAUAAUCCAGUUAUCAAAUCAACAUUCUACUCGUCUCCUUGAUGGAAAUCUCAGCUUCUCAAGUUGUAAUAGAGAAAACAGAAAGGUAAUUAUCAGACAGAUCAAACUACAAUAGGGAGGGGAUGGAUUUUGCUGACAUACUUAAUAAUCGUGGGAUACAUAUUCUUGAACAUGAACGGUCUUGAUUGUACGUGUCUUUUAGUUUCUGUAUUAUCUUUGCUUUUGUAAUGUGGAAUUUAUGUAUAUAUAUUGGUCCAUGGUUUCAAUUCCAAUCAGCACAAGAUCUAAAGCAUGAAAGCUCCAAAGCUGUGCAUAUCGAUUAUUGUCAUGACUGACUUGUGUAUUGGGAUAACAAAACCUCACAUGGGCAAACAGUAGCAACUUAGGUUUGCUAUUCUUGAGAAGUGUACUCACAUGAUUAUAACAAAAACGAGAUUUCAGAACACAAGGAGGGUUCACAAGGAUUCAAAGUAAAACUCAAACAAAACAAAUAUAUAUCUUAUUAAACCUAAUCAGCCUUGGCGGCAGAAGCAGCAGCUUGACCUCUGAGACGACCAGUCCUCCUAGCAGCAAUAAGACCAACCUUUUGCCCUGGUGGUGCGUCACGCCUAACCGUACUCGCGUGACCAAUGUGCUGAUGGUUACCUCCUCCGUGAGGAUGCUCCACUGGAUUCAUAGCCACACCACGAACCUUAGGCCACGAGUUUCUCUUCACACGGUACUUGUGGUACGCGUUUCCCGCCUUGAGCAUCGGCUUCUCGGUUCUUCCACCACCAGCGACUUGACCAAUCAUGGCCCUGCAUCCACUCGGAACAAUCUUCUUCGAACCAGAUGGCAACUUGAUCCUAUCAAAUUAAAACUCAAUCAAGAAACCGACCAAAUCAACAUAUCUAAACAGUUAAUGUCCGAGUCAAGAAACAAACCUAGUAGUAUCAUUGUCAGGGUUGUGCGAAAUCACGAUAGCGUAAUCCCCAGAAGCUCUAGCGAGCACACCACGGUCACCGACAUGAUGCUCGACGUUACAGACAACAGCUCCUUCAGGGAUAGCUCUAAGCGGGAGAACAUUUCCGACAACGAGCGUCGCUUUCUUACCGCAGUACAAGAACUGUCCGGUGUACAUGCCUUCGGCAGCGACGAAGAGCUCCUUCUGCUUCUUGUAACGGAAAGGAUGACGGAAGGCGACGCGAGCGAGCGGCGCGCCACGGCCGGGAUCGUGGAUGAUCUCCGUCACGACGCCCUUGAGGUAUCCAAUUUCUCUCGCCGUAGUCGAGGCUGCGGAACUUGGCGGGGCCUUUGCGGUGGUGAGUGUGGGAUUUGAAGACGGAACCAGCUCCCUUACGUUGAGCUCUGAUGACACGUUAAAGUAAAAAAAAAAAAAAAAAAAAAGAAGAUUGAAAAUAGGGUUUUGAGACCGAACUCGAAAGUGUGAGAAAAAAUCAGGUUUAUAUUGUGCAACCUAAAGUCGUUUAAGGGCUUUAAGUACUAAAGCCCAUUAAACCCAUACAAAAGCCGGUUACUACCAUUUCUUAGACAGGUUUACGCUAACCGGAACACUUUGGAAAAUCAUAAUAAGUCUGUAACUAACUUCUUGAAAUUCAUGCAAGUUUAGAUAAACUAUUUACAAGUUGAAUUCAGAUGGAAACUAUAUAUAUCACCGACUCACCUGAAUCAAACAGGAUCUAGUAUCAGUUUGGUUCAUAUAUGGAUUUUUCUUUUUGACGACAUUUCAUAUAUGGUUUAAAAUGUGUUAUAAGAAAAUCGAAACAAACGGAAUAAAUUUGAAAAUGGCAUUGUGCCAAUGACAUUGUAUGAUGCAUCAUGCAUCAUGUGUAGUUUGAGUUGUAUGAAGACCUACACAAUCUUUUUUUCUACGACUACUUUUUUACUUUGAGAUAUUUGAUCCUAACCGGUCUUGAACAUAGAAAAAUGUUUGAUCCAUAAACACACAUUUUAAGAAACAGUGUACAUAAAAUAUUAAUCUCAAAAAAAAAAAAUUCUCCAUAAUAAUUUAUUUUUUUAUUAAUUUUUUUACAAAAUUUCUGUAACCUCCAAAAUCUCAAAACAUGCUCUCUGGCGUGAACGUAUCAGCGUAAACCUAUCAACAAAAGCACAAAGAGCUAAAGUUUCAACAUCAAAAUUCAAGACUCAUCAGCCGGUCUUUAACAAACCUCAAUCUGCCUAUUUGUAAUAACUCCUCCAAAUUAUAUUUUGAAACUAAAAGGUUUAUAUAUAGUCGAAGGUGGAUCAAAUAGACAUGACGAGGUGGAUUUGAAGAUUGAAUAUAAGGUUGAUGCUCCAUUAGAGUGGAUGAGAACAUAUAUAGUUUCAGUUUGGCUCAUAUAAAAAUAAGUUUAAGAAGUUAUGUUCCUCUCUGUCUUAAAAUUUCUCUAUAAUAAGUGGCUAGUCCACAACUCUGUAAAAGAAAACCUUGGUUAAAUCUUAACAUUUUUCACCAAAAAAAAAAAAAAAAGUUUAAGAAAAUCGUAACAAACAGAACAAAAGAGUAUUUUGUGUUGUGAAGACUUGAAAGGAAUCUUUGUUUUCCUUCGACUACCUGCUUUGAGAUAUUUGAUCAGUAUAUCAGUCAUUGAUAUAUAAUAAAAGAUAAUGCAUCAUUGAAGCAACCAUAUACACAUCUGACGUGAACAUAUCAGCAGAAGACAAGCUAAAGUUCCAACAUAAGAAAUCAUCAAGCUUAUAAAUACAAACGUUUGGUACAAGUUUUUAUAUAUAAAAAAUAUGGGGGAUCGAAAACACUAAGACAAACUGCAAGAGUGGUUCACCACCCGACCUCCAUAAGAAAGUCCUUGAAUGCAGCUAGAAGCUCGUCAUCUCGUAUUUUUAACAAUCAGCCUAUUCAUUUUCACUCAAAAUUCUAUUUUGGAACUAGUAGGUUUAUUGUCGAAGGCAGAUAUAUAGGACGGUGUGGAUUUGAAGAUUGAAUAUAAGGUUGAACAGAAAAACUUCAUUAGCUUAAAUGAGAACAUAUAAAUGUUUGUGUGGAUUACGAUAUAAUUUUCAUAUUGCCGACUAUCAGUAUCAUAACAAAUAUAUGUCUACUAGAUGUUUUUGUUCAUUAUUCGUAUAAUUUUCAGUAUUACCGACUAACAUGCUAAAUGCAUGUGUAACUUAUAAUUUAUAACCACAAAAAUUAACCGAUGUUAUUAACAUUCUUUGACAUUUAAUAACAUAAUAACAUGUAAAACAAAACUUGAUAUUCAUCUUUUGAAACACAAUAUAUAACAAAUUCAAAAUGCAAAUACAGCAAAAGCAAAUGAUAUGCUAAUUAGUGUUUUAUCUGAUCAAUACAAUAGUUUGAUUAGAAAAAAUAUUUAUUUCUCUGACAAGAAUAUAUGUUUCAUUCAGAAUUUUCAGAAUGUAUAUAAAUUUAGGCUACUUCCACAAAUGAUACUCCUUGAAAAAAAAACUUCGGCAAAUCAACACAAUAAUAACACAAGGUUCUCUCCAAAGUGUGACACAUCAGAUUUUUAGAGCUUUGACAAGAUGACAUGUCAAUAAAUGAAAAAACUUAACUAUCCAAUCAAAACAUUUAGUUUAUACACAUCACAUCUGAGAAUACACGUAAUGGUUUUCCCUCUUCCUCUUCGGGGGAUAGAAAACGCCUAUGAACUGAUUGCACGGGCCAAAGCAUUUUCUCUCUAGAUCUCCUUUCGCCUUCUUCGUCUCCGGUCUCGGCGUCCUAUGCCGGUCCGUGAGAAGGUUCUCCGCUCCCAUUAUAGUUAUCGGAACCGUUCUUAACUGACGGUGGUUACAAACCGAGGAGGCACAUCUGUUCAUCUCCUAGAUCUGGAUUGGUUCCUGUUGCGGCGGACCACGACGUGAACCCUGGCUCGUCGACUCAACGGCAGGCCCUCUUCGCUUGAGGACGGUGCAGAGGCUAGCUAGAGGUCGCAAGUCAGUUCAUCGGGGCUAGGGUUUUGCUCCAGCGGUUGUGAGGGUUACGGCGACAACGGGUCCUGAUGAAGGAUGGCGGUUUCUUCAGUACUCUAGCCCAAUGAAGCUCGGAUCUGCUCUUGACAUGCUGAUUUUCUAGAUGUGCGUUGAAUCUAGACCAUGCGUGACGACGAGGCGUCAUCGGAGACGGCAGGAGGAGAGCGAGAAUCAGGCGUCUUGGCGAGUCUGCCGACAUGGCCGCGAGAGCAACUCCACCUCUGAAGCUUCAUCGUGAAUAAAUCGAUUAGCUGGUUUUGGACACACCGGCUUUGAGAAGUUCCGGUGAUGUCGGAUAUGGUGGAUAGCUUGUGUCCGCCGGAGAUGGAAGUCAAGUGCUUCAAGCAUUCUUUCCCACACUCGCAUUUCCCCUCUGUAGUUUUUGUAUUGAUUCUCCAUUAGGAUUUAGCUAAGUUUCCUCCAUGGUUUUAAGUUUUCACUGUUUCUCCGACGUUAGUCGGUGUUGUAACCACUGAUGCUCCAAUUUUUAAGGAUUUUUAUAAUAUACUAUUAUUAUUAUAAAAAAAAUGAUUCUCCCUCUUCCCAUCCAAAUGAAGCCACCAUCGUUUUCAUUAAGUUUUGAUUUUGAUCCUAAGACUUUUCAUCAAAAAACAGGAAGCCCACUAAAACUUAGGACAUAGCAUGGGGUAGAUCGAUUUGACGGUGUUAAGAUGUGUUAAGAAAAGUCCUCACUUAUAAAGGACGUCAAUGUAGAGGCCAAAGCAGAGGAUAUAAAAGAGAGAGAGAGAGAUGACGACGGCACUGCAAUCUCGGGUUGUUUCAUCAGGAAGAGAUAUUACUCAUAUGAGAGUUUUCUUAACAAUAAUAGUCACCAGUCUCCUCAAUAGCUUAACUAUUCAGCUCCACAUACGUUGGUUGUUUCUGUGGUUAACUUAGAUCAGGUCUCGUAAAAGGAAAUCUUUGUAGAUGUGAGGUGAAAAAUAAAAUUGGAAAAAGGAGCAUAGAUGAUCAAACGUCCAAAGACACGAGUUAUGUCUUUUAGGAUUAUCAGGGAAAUGUUUAAGAAAACUCUAAAGCUUAUGUUUCUUCUUCUUGAGAUAUCACAGAACAGCCAUGGACCUUUCAGUUUUUUUUUCUCUGUAUGAUUGUCUACAGACUGCAAAUCACUAACCGAAGAUAGCAACUUGAUAAAAUAUGCAGGAGGUGAACGCAGAAGCUAAGAAACUCGAGCUCCUCUUUGAGUUAUUAACGCUCGCAGAAACGAAGCAAGCCAUGAUCAUUUUAUUGGAAUUUCUUUUUUCUAAGAUCGUUUACGAUCUUCAAACAGCCAAGUCCAGUAUCCAGUGAUCAUCAACAAGAACAACAACAGUAUCACCAAGUUUUCUUUCCUUCCUUUUACUUACAUUUUGAAAAUGAUUGUUUAUACCAAAAAUUUGUGUUUAUUUGAACUACAUGCCAAGUUCACCCAUGCUACAACCUUCUUUACCCAAUUAUCAUAGUAGUUUUAUGUGUGUGUCUCCAACGAAUCUGAGAGGUAACUAACAUCUAUCAUCUUUAUUUUUAGGACAGGCUGUUCGAGAAGGCCAUUGCUCAGUUUCAAAUACUUGUAACCUGCAUUCUGUAUCUAGAUGUACCUACACAUGACUGAUAAUCAUUUUGACUUGUGAAGUGAUUUGGGAGCAGCAAUACAAUCAUUAAAGAUCAUGGUCAUUGGGACUGUGUUUCAGGGCUGUCAGUAGCGCAAGUAAUGAAGCAGAUGAUAGUCUACCGACAUCAGCCACUUGUAAAAAAGCCUUCUCAAGCUUCCACCCUAUCAAUGGUUUGUCCCCCAUAAGUUAUGGGCCAUAACACAUCAUCUCCAUUGGAUUUUGCUUACUUCAAGAAAACCUCGGUCAUUUGUCUCGAAUCACUUGUAUUGCACUCGAUGUUAUAUAAUUGGAGAAAUCAAAUUAAAUCUCUUUGUCAGUAAUGCAGCAAAGAGAAACUUGAGACCAAAUUGAUGUACGCCAUAAGCGUCGAAGCUGGUUUUGAUCUGAGCUGAAUAGCUUUUGUAACUACUCAAUGGAAAAUGCUUGUUCAUCUACUAAACGAACGCCAUUCCACUGCUGGUCCAGAGCUUUCGGGUAUGUUUUAGUCUAACUCCUAGAUUAUUUACGUGACAAAGCAACUCUUAUCAAUAUAAGUGGUUGUUCUUUCUCAUAUGAUACAUUUCUUGUUUCAUCUGUCUUUUUAUAUAUAUUUUUCUUUUCUUGGCAGUUCGCUUUUCCGUUGUAUCACCAAGUACAGUAUUUUAACAAGAGGAACUCACUAAAGUUGCAGGAAUCUAACAAUAUGAUUCAAUCUUAAAAGGAGCAAUUUAUCUGUUAAGUGCAUAAAACAUUGACUUUGUUCAAAAUUAUUAUGUGAAACCUCUUCUUUUUAUAGUGUACAAUAUCUAUGAUUCUCGAUAACUGCACUAUAUUUUCAAGGUAGCAUAUUCUUACAAUUAAGUAACUUCUAUUGAUAUUUUCCUUUUUUUUUGAUAAAAUUUUUUAAAAUUUUUUAAAAUUUUUCUUUUUAUUUUCUUUCUGUUUGGUGUGUUUGGGUGCUCGAUCGCUGGCUGGCCUUUGGGAACACUGAUAUAUUCUACCAUCACAUUUCAACCAAAAUUUCUUUUGAUAUCAAAAGUUGAAAAAAUAUAGUAAAUAUAAUACUUACGGCAUAGCGCGGGUAUUUACCUAGUGAUGGUAAAGAGGAAAUGUGACUAAAGCUGGAAUAUAUGAAAGUGCGAAUUCAAUAAAUAGUGUUCAAUGUCAGAGAAAUUUACUCUAAAGCACACUUUAUAUCCAGUACAAUUACUCAUAAAUUUAACAUUUACUAUGAAAAAGGAGAGUUAAUUAUCGCCACUCUUCUCAAGAUCACUCGUCAACAUGUCACGUUGGCCGUUAACGUUGGGGAAAAAAUCUCCCAGCCCACCCACUACAAAACAUUAUAAGAAAAGAAACUAGAAACUGUAAUUUUAGGAAAAGGAAAAAAAAAGUUGACCAAAAAAAAAGGAAAAGGAAAAAAAAAAGAGUUGAUGCCUAACACAUAUAUAUAUAUGACCCUAAGUUAGUGUGGAUCACGCACUUUCAAAACCUAAAAAGCUUAAGGUAUGUUUUCUUCUGUCUUCUUCUUUUGCUUGCAAAAGUUAUUUUCAUUUUUUACUUGCAAAAACUAAUAAGCUUGACGUCUGUGUUCUAUCUUCUUCUUCGUCUUUACUUCUAUUUUAAGUUUGAUUUAACAUGUAUUGUACUUGAGGUAUCAUUUUGACUUAGAUCCUUUGUAAAAUUGCUAAAUCAAAACUUAAACCAACAUCAACCAAAUUUGCAUGUAUUAGAAGUUGAUUUACAAAUUUAAUUACUUUUCCUGCUUAAAAAAUAAAAAAAGAAAAUAAUGAUUUUUGAAAACUUACGUUGCCAAGUUGAGUCCACCUAAUUUUGAGCUGGUCAAAGAUUUUUAUAAUCUUUCUUGUUCCUAUUUUUUUGAAUUAUUCAAAAUUUUAACUAAUUAUUAAACAAAAUCUUAAGCGUUGAUAUGAUAUAAUAAUUCAAAAAUACCAAUUAUAAAAUUAUAUAUAUAUGACCCUAAGUUAGUGUGGAUCACACACUUUCAAAACCUAAAAAGCUUAAGGUAUGUUUUCUUCUGUCUUCUUCUUUUGCUUGCAAAAGUUAUUUUCAUUUUUUACUUGCAAAAACUAAUAAGCUUGACGUCUGUGUUCUAUCUUCUUCUUCGUCUUUACUUCCAAAAGAUAUAUUUUUUUUUCUUGAAGAAACCAAUAAGCUUAUGUUCAGUUUUUCUGUCUUCUUCUUGUGAAAAUCAUAUUUUCAUUUUUUUACUUGCAUUAGCUUUAUAGAUCGUUUUAAAUAAUAGAGUACCUUUUUAUGUUUACUAAUUUUUUUUUUGGAUGAAGAUGUCUAAUAAUGAAAAUGUUGAUGAUGCUGGUGUUGGUGCUGAUGACGGCGGUGGAACUACACGUCGUAAGGUAAACUUUAUAAUUGAUAUGUCAAAAUUUUAACUUAUAUGAAGUUAUAGUAUUUUAAUAAUUUUAACAUAACUAUAGAAACAAAAACAAAUUAUAUGGGAAGAUGAGCAUGUUGGGGUAUUCUUGGAGCUUCUCGAUAUUGAGUUGGCUAAAAUUAGAUACAGACAAAAGUUACCGAAAGAGGUAGGGAGAGAGCGUAUUUGUAAAGAGUUUUUGGAGAAAACUGGUAUAAGCCUUUCUUGGGAGCCUUUCAAAAGCAAAUACGAUAUAUUGAGAAAUAUGUAUGGAUCGUAUAAAAGGCUCAAGAAUUUUACUGGAGUUUCAGCAGAUGACAAUACCGGUUUGAUUGAGAUGGAUUCUGAAUGGUGGGACGAUCGCGAAAAGGUACAUUAGUGUACAUAGUUGAUAUUUAAAAAUCAAUUAACAAACCUUGUUACUGAUAUUUACGUUGUAUUCGUUAUUUUUUGUGUUGUGCAGGAGAUUCAAUAUGCAAAAAAGAUCCGUGAAAAUGGGAUUCCACACAUGGAACUUAUGAGACGGAUAUUUGGACGUCAAGGCAGUAAACCAGAAGCUAUGUACUCAACUCAUGUGCAAGAUGCUGAACAAAAUGAGCAACUGGAUAAAUCAGUUCCAGAAACCCAAGACAACGAUGGAGACCAUACAAAUGAUGUGCAUCACCACUCACAAACCAUUUCACUAGACUCUCCUCCAAGGUCACCUAUUGGUCCAUCAAAGCGGUCAAACAGAAAACAGGCACGUGUUGCUCCAUACGAAAGCGGUCGAGGGAAAGACGUUGCACUCAGCCGCGAGAAGAACAUCCCACGAAGAAGAAAGUCAUUUGAAAAGGAGAUAAAUGAGCAGUUCAAAGAAAUGAUGGAAUUACGUCGUUCUCAAGUUGCAGAAGCAAAAGAGCGCAGAGAAAAAAAUGACGCUCAACCAUUUAAAGAGGCAUAUGAAAUCUUGAAAUCAAUUCAAGGUCUAACAAGGUGGACAGAUUUUUGGUGGGCUUGCAUCAAAGUACUAAAAGAAGAUCCAUUUGCCAGAGAAAUGAUUUUCUACAAUGAGAGUGAUCAUGAUAGGAUUACCUUUUUGGAGGGUUAUACAGGAUAUGAUCUUCAUGGAAAUUUCUCCGGAGAACGUUUCAAGGCUUUGCAACAUUGUCAUGGUGAUCCUUCAAGUGCCAACCCAGAGCAAAACAUCAUAAGACCAACCAUGGAGAGUUACAAGGAUUGGCCAUUUUUUAGUGGAUUUAUUGGGGCACUAGAUGGAACACAUGUCAGAGUUAAGGUUGGAGGUAGUGAUGCAGUUGGGUACUGGGAUAGGCAUGGACAAACAAGUUUAAACAUAAUGGGCAUAUGUGAUAUAAACAUGAUCUUCACGUAUGCAUGGCUAGGUGCAUCUGGGUCUACACAUGAUUCAUUGGUGUUGCAAUAUGCAAUAGAUGGAGACCCUAUAUUCCCUAAACCUCCUAUAGGUAAAUACUAUCUUGUUGAUUCUGGAUAUGCUAAUAAGCGAGGAUUUCUAGCCCCAUACAGAGGAAGCAGUAAAGAAAAUAUCAGAUAUCAUCUCUCGGAAUUUGAUGAUGGCCCUCCUAGAAACAAGAAGGAAUUGUUCAAUAAAUGGCAUGCAUCACUUCGCUCAGUCAUCGAAAGAACUUUCGGAGUUUGGAAAAAGAAAUGGAGAAUUCUUGAUAACUUGCCUCGCUAUGACGUCAAGAUUAAAUAUCAUUUUAUAAUUAUUGUUAUUUCAUUUUUUUAUUAUUUAUAUUAGAAUAAAUAUUAUUAUUCGAUUAUAAUAUUUAGAAAUAAUAUAUGUUGAAAAUUAUUUUUCAAAUUUAAUACUUAUUUAAAACAUUUUUAAAUAUUUAAUGGUUUAUUUGUUUUUAAUAAAUAUAUCACUAUUAAUAUGUUUAUAUAUUCAUUUAUUUUAUUAAGAAAUUCAUACUGCAACUUAUACAUCAAAAAAGUUACCAGUCAAUAGUUCUUAAAAAAUGAUUACUCUUAUUUUUACUGCGAACUUACCACAUAAACUUACAGUUUAUACCACAUAAUUUUUACUGCAAGUUACAUCGAAUUACAAAUCAUACUGCAAUUCGGCUUUAAUACUACAUGUCACCAGUCGGAGCCAUAGAGAUAUCCUCUUGUAGCCAUCACAAAAAAUAAUCAAUCAUCUUGUAACUACUAUAAGUCAUCCUUCUUUGAUUCUUGAGUCCCCGAUUGAAUUUAUCUGAACAUAGAGAUUAGAGACCUGAAGAACACUUCAUCACAGGGUAUGAUUACGCCCAUAUUAUGGUCAAAACCAUACUCUUCCUCGGCUAGUCGGAGUAACGUUUGAAACUCGGAGUGUUCGAGCCACGAGAUGGGAAUGAUGUACCGACUUCGGUUUGGUCCAACGUAAACCGGAAAAUGACCUUUCGGCACGUCUUGAGGAAGACCAUCUUCUUGUUUAUAGUAGCAAUCGGUGACGUUCUUAUUCUUCCCUAGGCUCGACGAGCAUCUCUUUAAGAUUUUCUUGAUUGAUGCUGCUUGAGAUGACUUCUUUAUCGCCAUUAUUUUACUUUAAAACUUUUUUUUCUUCUUGAGAUUGCAAACAUGAUUUGGAAUGAACAUUUAUAAAAAAAAAAAAAUUUAUUGGAUUUUUUAAUUUUAAAGGUCAUGUUAUUAUUAUUGUUAUUUCAUUUUUUAUUAUUAUUUAUAUUAGAAUAAAUAUUAUUAUUCGAUUAUAAUAUUUAGAAAUAAUAUAUGUUGAAAAUUAUUUUUCAAAUUUAAUACUUAUUUAAAACAUUUUUAAAUAUUUAAUGGUUUAUUUGUUUUUAAUAAAUAUAUCACUAUUAAUAUGUUUAUAUAUUCAUUUAUUUUAUUAAGAAAUUCAUACUGCAACUUAUACAUCAAAAAAGUUACCAGUCAAUAGUUUUUAAAAAAUGAUUACUCUUAUUUUUACUGCGAACUUACCACAUAAACUUACAGUUUAUACCACAUAAUUUUUACUGCAAGUUACAUCGAAUUACAAAUCAUACUGCAACUCGGCUUUAAUACUACAUGUCACCAGUCGGAGCCAACGUUUUCUCUUUUAAAAAUAUGUUCCAGUAACCAUAAAAAUGAUAUAGCGGACCAAACAACAUCAACCUUCGAAAAAAUAAAAUUUACGACUGUACUUGUAAACUGGUCACAAUGCACUUCUAAAGCUAAGAUACAACUUUUUAUUAUAUACUUACGGUAUGUUUUGGUAAUUUGGUGAGUAUAUAACUAUAGAAUGAUUGUUUUAAAAAAAACGAUAUAAUGAUUAAUUGGGUUUGACCAAAUGAUGACUAUAUUGUCUGUAUUAUUAAAUGUAGGUUAAAACAUUUACAUUUACAUGUACAUAUAGUCAUAUAGAUAUAUAUGGUAUUAGAAUAAAUGCACAAGACUAUACUUUUCUAAUUUGUUAAUUCACUUAUUGAUCAUAAUUAGGUUGACUAUUUAUGCAUUGAAAAAUCUAGUGAGUAGAUUAUGUAUAAAUUCAACGUAAUUAAAAAAGAAAUUAUACAGUAAUAUACUAAUAUAUUUUCCCUAAUCUGAUCAUAACCUUAUUUUUUGAGAUCAUAUAAAGCCAAAUUUCUUGGUUGGAUUCAAACUAGGACAUCUUAAAAGAUUUAUGUUCUUGUGAAAGCAAAAUCAUGUGCGUUGUUGGAGGCAAGGGCUAACAAACAUUGAGGACAGAGCCACAAGAACGAGAGAGAGAAAUGAAAUUAAAAUUCUGAAAGAAUGUAUACAAAAUUUAGUUGGGUAGGACUAUAACAUUGCCCUACAGUGUCUCCCUUUUGACUUUACAUAAUUAGACACAAUUUUACAAACAAAUGUCCACGUUGUCUCUCUUACCUCUAAUAUAUAUACAUCAUAUAAACGAGACCAUGGUCUGGUAUAUAUCUUAGUAUAGUAUGUUAUUUAUGUACAUGCUUACGGACGAAAUAAUAGUUUUUGUAAGUUGUAGCCAACGUACGUAUACUGGCGGUGAUACAUAUAUUAUAAAGGAGUCGUCACAUUACAUAUCGCAAAACCUUUUGUCUUUAUUUCUCAUAAAUUAACUAACACAUGUAUGCAGAGAAAAAUUUGAAGUUGUUUUGCUACAACUGGCCAUUACUGAAUCAUACAUUAACGCCCAUUUCGCUCAUAACAAAAGAUAACAUGAUGUUUUCUUCUAACAAUUAAUGUCGUCUAGAUCUAAGACAAAACUAAUAGAUUUGAAGUUUCCGUUUUUUACAUUUGAAAAUUUGACCAAUAAUAUGUUUGUUCUAGAAGUUUUUGAACAAACUACUGAACUGUUUGGUUAAACAUCACUUGAAGACCCGAACUUUUAAAAAUAUAAGAAUCAACGGAUUUAUUAUGUAGGUCACUUUUGGAUUAUAUCAAAUAGAGUAAUUUGUUAGGCACUUUUUAAUUUAACAAAUACUGCUAUCAAUCAUCGGCAGUAACUGAUGACUAUGUUUUAGAAAAAAAAAUGAUGAAUUUGUUGUUCUUCAGAAAUAAUAUCAGUUAAAUUGAAUUUUUUUUGUCAAACUAGUAACAUGUGGGUUCCAUUUCAUUCCUCAUUCUUUCUCAUAUAUAAUUGAAAUAAUGAAGAAAUAUUUUUCUCCUCUAAUUUUGAUAUCAAAUGUUUGUUCCUCUCUUUUCAAUUUUUUUAAAUUUAUUUCUUCAAAUGAAUUUUUUUCCAACAUCUUUUCCAUAUUUUUCAUUCAAUAAGUGGCUAUCAAUUAAAGCCAUCACGUUUAAAAACAAUUUUUAAUUUUUCUCCUUUUAAAUGUGAACUAAAUCAUUUUAAAUAUGGAUUGAAUCCUUUAAAAUUUUAAAUUCCUCAAUUUUGAAGUUAACUUCUACAUUACAUUUUUAAAUUUUAUAUCUAAUAAUCUAAAUUAUCUGAAAACUAUGAACCAAAUACCUAGAAAUAACAACCUAACGAUAAUAACAAAAUACAUAUAAUGGUAGAGGAUGCAUGUGUUACAAAGAAAAAAGAAAACAAAGUCGGGAAAAAAAGAAAAAAAAAGAAAGAAAGAUAAAAGCAAGAUACUUUAGUGAAAUUUUCUCAUUGGUCUAUACCUUUUGACAAGGAUAACUGUCUUAACCAUUGAUCAAUUUGAUCUAAUGGCUCAUAUUACUUCAUUCCUUUUUCUCUCGUUCUCCCAUGUACCUUUUCCUCUGUAAACAAGUAUUAUCUUCUUCUACAAACGAUUCUCUUCCUCUUAACACAAACAAAUCGAUUUCAUCGAUUCUGGUCACCUAAUUCCUUUCUUCUACUCCACUCACAUAAUCUUUUCACCAACCACUAUAGUAUUUUAUCAAACCGAAUCUCUUCCUUCUGCCAUCACCAGAUCUCCUUCACUGUCUACCAAAUCUACUCCUACGAUACGAUGUUGUUGUUGCGCCUGAGACUGGUGUGAAAUGCAGUUAUCGUCGGAGUUGUUCUCGCACACGGAGAUUCGAUGUUCGGCAUCAGAUCUAGAUCGUACAAACAUCUCGGCUCACAGAUCUGGUAUGAGACAAUUUGGAGUAAAGAACAGCUGGAGUAGUGGAGGCACACCAGAGGCGAAGGAUGAGAUAGCAGAGACAUGCCGCAUGUAGUGACGAGGCGGAGGAGUGACGAACCGCAGGCAGAGGCGCGACUAACCGAAUGCAGAGGCGCGACGUGACAAACCAGAGGCUAGGGCGGAGCUGUGCCGGCGAAGUUAAAUCUCCGGUCAAGCUCACGCUUUUGUAUAUGUGUGUAUAUAUGUUAUACUUAUAUGUAUGAUAUAUAAAUAUGUAUAUGACACCAUAUAUACGAAAAACAUAUUUGUAUUGUUUUUUAAUUCAUUAAUUCUUAAUUUGCUAAUUAUUUUUUUUUGUUUUUUUUUUAAUAAAUAGUCACGGAAUAGUCACAAACACUAAGCGUGACAAAUAUAAACCACGAAAAUAACAGUGUCAAAAACGUGACUGUUUUAUACACGUUUAGUCACGGUAAAUUUUGGUCACGAUCGUAUACACACGAAAUUUUUUCGUGACUUUUCGUGUCUACAUCAAUGUAUAGUCACGAAAAAUUAGCGUUAGUCAUGAAAAUUUUCGUGUCUAUAUAACAUUUUUCUACUAGUGUGUGUUAUUUGAAACUUACUAAUACAAAUUCUAAAUUAAUAACAGUCAGUUAAUUAAUCAAUUUAAAUUUGUUUUCAGCAUACAUAUAAUACGUACCCUUUGUUUUGGACAAAUAUAAUACGUUUCUAAACCUAAGAUGGUAAGCAUAAAGGAUUUAAGUCCCCAUGUGAAAAUUAGAACAAUGCUUUAGGCUCAAACCUAAUCUUUUGUUUUAUUAUGAUUACAUCCUCAAAGUUAAAGUUUUGUGUUUACGUACUUCCUUUUCACGUACCUCUUGCCGUCCUUCCCAUUUUCUUACUUGUCUAUGCAUGUGGUCAUAAUCAACAUAUCAUAUCUUAGUUUCCAUUCGAUUUAUUGUAGUCUGUUCAGUCCAUAUGAUAAAAAGAGUCAGUCUAUAAUGAACAAUGAAAACUAAAAUUCCUUUGGCUAAUAAUAUUAAUUCUUGGUGCGACAUAUGAAGGAGACAAAUACAUAAAUAUAUUCCAGAAAUUAGAAUUUAUGGCCCCAGAAAUUGAGAUAAUAAGCAUGAGUCUUUGUCCAGAAUUUCUUGAUUGACAGUUUUUACCAUUCUUUCUUAUCACUUAUAUUAUUUUCUGUGCACUAUCACUUAUAUUUUCAAAAAUAAAUCUACCUAUGCAUAUGCGUUGAACAUGUUAAAAAUAUAAUUAAGACAAGAGACUACAAUACUAGUUACUAAAACUAGAUUUAUACGAUAUUCUUUUCCACUAGAGUUUUCAGCUUUGCAUGAUGAAGUUGAUCAGUAUGGUUACAUUUCUCAGUUUGAAUCAAAGAUCGAUAGCAAAUUACACACUAUUUCGUCAGAUAUUAAGUACUAAAAACCAAUAAAAAUGUAGACAAAUCUUGAGAAGAAAACAAAACAAAACAAUAACAACAAAAUAAUAAACUUUAAGCAAAAUAAUAAUAAACAAAUAAAGAAAAUGUCAAAAUGAUGGGUGGUGUAGGAUCGAAGGGUGGACAGUGGAAUGAUGGUGGAACAAAGACACUUGGUUGACUAUAUAAUUGGGGCACUUGUUGUGGUUCUAACUCGGAGACAUUAUCGAUUCAUUCUUCCUUGACAUCAACCGAAAGUACCAACACCUUCUUCUGCUUAAGAUAAUCCUUUAUGCGUAUCAUUGCGUAUCUCACUCAAUGAUUUAUAAUAUAUAACACUUCUUUUACAUUUUACCAAAAAUAAAAACACUUCAUUUACUAGUUUUGUAAAUAAAACUCAUCAUUAGCACUCUUAGGACUCAAAUAAGGUCUAGUGUAUAUGUGGGGGAGAUAAGCGAAUAUAUUUCUAAGCAACUGAAAUCAGUUUACAAACUCAUCAAACCGACAAUAGUAUGAGAGUCUAAGCACACACUAACCAACUCAAGCUAAAAUCAAUCUAAACCAAUAUUGGUUAGGUCGAUCUAAAACUAACGAUAUUUUAUCGAAGGUAAAAAAUAAUUAUCUCAAAUAAACAUAUAAUAUAAUGGAAAUAAAAUGAGAUUUUUUUUAUGUAUGAACAGAAAAUGAGUAUUUGUAUAAAUAAAAUGAGUAUUUGUAUAUAUAAAAUGAAAUAGUCCUUAAGUGAAUUGUAUUUUGUUGAAAUUUUUUGUUACUGGUUGAAAACUAUAAAUUUUAAUAUCAACAUUAUAUGUAUAUUAAAACAUCAAUAAUGAAAAAUAAUAUUAUAAACAAAUGCAUACAUAAAUGAGUUAGUACAUUAUUGUGUCCCUGGUGAAUGACAUGUAUCAUCAAUACUUCAUUGGAAAUCCAAUUAUAUUUGAUCAAUCUUAUCCUGACUUUGAACUUUUUUUUUUUUCCAUCUAAAAUUUUAUUGAUAAAGUUUAAAACAUACAAAAAGCCCAAAAGAAAGGGGCUCUAACAUCCAAACCCAAACUAGAACCCAAGAGCAUAAACACUCGUCCAAACUACAGACGAGCCCAAGACUGGCCCAUCCUAAACAAACGUGACAACACAUCAGAACGUGUUGCACCGAGCGAUAAAAAAGAAACACGUGUUUCCGGAGCCUCCACCAUGUUCACCGCCGGAAACAUCGUCAACGGACCAAACCACUGCAUCAGCUAAACAUCGGAGUCAACCGGGAACAAGACCACAACCAGAACAACCUCCAACACCUGUAUUGAAAGUUCUCAUAGAACAUCAAACGACCGAUGUCGCGAUCUCAUCCCACACCCCAAGCCCCAUCACACACAUCGAACCACCAGAUCUACGAUUCAAUAAAAAACAAAUCGACUACAAUCGAUCUUUCAUCCUUUGAUUUUCAUAGGAUGGAGGAAGGAGAGUCAAUCGGACGGAGGAAUUACACGAAUCGUAGAUCUUUCAGAUUUGAACCAUAAACCAUCGGACCCACCAACAGAAAUAACUCCGGAAAAGAAAAUCUCCGUCAACACAAAGGAACAGUGCGACGCGAAGCCAAAGCCGACCGUUCACCUUCAACGAACAGGUGCAGCGCCGGAAUCAAAAGCCGACCGACCACUGAAAGGAAAGUGCAUCGCCGGAAGAGCCCAACCAAGGGCGGAGUUUUGCCGGUUUCAUCUCAUCACUUCCUUCUGUAAAAGAUACGGCGAGAGAGAACAGAAAGGAAGGAGAGAGAAAAACCUUUAAUACUAUUCCUGACUUUGAACUUAACAGUAAGAUGUUAUAUAGAGAAUUAAGAUUAAUUUCGGAAACAACUGUUAUAAGAAUUUUUAAAUUAUAAAAAUUUAAAAAGGGGAAAGUCAGACGUGUUAUGUUCAGCAAUCAGCAUAUACCUCUGGAAAAUAUUAAUUAAAUACUUGUUUGGCAGAAACAAAAAGAAAUAAGAGAGUACUACAUAGGUCAUAAGAAAUAAGGAAUGGCAUACACUUUUCUCAUAUUCUUAUACAGAAUAUCUGAGACUGGUGGGAUCGGAUCAUAGACCUGUGGUAAUUUUUUUGGAAGAUAAG
This 72296-nucleotide long non-coding RNA is filed under the name Brassica napus (rape). Its description in RNAcentral is "long non-coding RNA (BNAP_LNC005335)". The stretch from base 52919 to 53115 matches the Rfam family "U2 spliceosomal RNA". Lineage: Eukaryota; Viridiplantae; Streptophyta; Magnoliopsida; Brassicales; Brassicaceae. The record is from RNAcentral.